Pelobates cultripes (western spadefoot toad) is the source of this 61015-nucleotide non-coding RNA. The record is from the annotation of a GenBank genome assembly. NCBI's taxonomy places the organism in Eukaryota, Metazoa, Chordata, Amphibia, Anura, Pelobatidae.
GGCGGCCAUUUUGUGUGUCCGUGUCCGGUGACAGCAGAAUCCGGCGGGGCUCGGCCCGGUGUUCGGACAUGGCGCUCCGCAUAGUGAAAGGCAGCAUCGAUCGCAUGUUCGAUAAGAACCUGCAGGACCUGGUGCGGGGGAUCCGGAACCACAAGGAGGAUGAGGUGAGGGGGUGGGUGGGAUGGCUGAGGAUGAUAGGGGAGCAGGGGAUUUGGGGGGGUGCCCUUAGAGUCCCCGACCUGACAGCAAGGGGUCUGAGGGGCACAGAGCCGGUAACACGGGCCUGGCUCGGGUAAGGGGGGGUUACAGAAUGGGUGAUUCAUUGAUUGGGGAGUCUGGGGGGUGGCUGAGGAUGAUAGGGGAGCAGGGGAUUUGGGGGGUGCUCUUAGAGUCACCGACCUGACAGCAAGGUGUGUGAGGGGCUCAGGUACUGGGGUUACAGAAUGGGUGAUUCAUUGAUUGGGGGGGUCUGGGCUGUGCUACGUGUAAGCUAUGGAAGGCAUAUCUACGUAUUGCUUUAGGUGGGUUAAUGUGCUCAGGGUAUAAGGUGAGUGCUAGCUCACUGGCCAACAAAGUGCACAUGGGGCACAUGCCCAUUCCAGGCUGGAAUGAAUGAGGAGGGUCAGGCUGGGAGCUAUCAGAGCAAUAUGGCAUUUUAAUCAGUGUUAUGGGAUGCCUUCUAUGGAUGGCAGGGGUGUAUUUAACCUCUGCAGUGCUAGGGCUGAGCAAUGAACUUGGUUCUGGCACCCAUCUGGUUCAAUUGCAAUGCCAGCUGGCAUAUAAACUGGCACUUUGCGACCCAUAACUAGAAUGGCACACUGUAAUUACACACCAUUUUAGCAAUGUUUUUUUAAUUACAUUGUUACCCUGCCCUAUAUAUUUCUCACCACACUCUCUCUGGGCUCUGCCUAUAUGUAGUGCUUGAAGGAGAGUAUUUUUAAAGCAGUAAUGGAAGCAGUUUUAUGAUCCUAUUAGUGCAUGAGAAACACGUUCCCUGUAUGUCAUUGUUUUAGUAUUUAUUUAUUUUCCUUCCCACCAUUCAUUUUGAAUAAUGCAUUACCAGUUUGCUGCCAUAUUUUACUGAUCUGCAUAUUGACAGGUCUAAUGAGGGUUGAUACUCUGCAAUACAGUGAGAUAGACUGUAAAUUCGUUCUUCUAUCUAUAAUCCACGAUUGGAUAAUUAUUGGAUCUGUGUUCUGCAUUCUCCAGUGCUGCUCAGCCAACCAUAAGCAGUGGGCAUUAGAGCCCACAACAACAGAGGUGACAUAUUUUGCCAAACAUUGAAAGCAAAGUCAACUUUAGUUUCAGUUUCACCCAUUUUCCAUUUAAAGAAAGAAAAAAUCCUAAAAUUGUUAUUUUGUUGGAUGGAGUGAUAAUUCUUAUCUCUGGAUAUAUGUAGCCACAAAUAGGGCGAGUCCUGGUUCUAUAUAGACUUACUUGUAUAAAAGGGAUUGGGAACAUAAGAAGCAUAGAGAAUGAAUUAACCUGUAUGUUAAUAAUGAACUUGGUGAAUAAACCAGAAAUGAACGAGGGGCAGCGGAAUUUAGGAAAACUUAAAAUGUGCUUAAUUAAAGCAAAAAUGUGAUAUUUUUGUCAUUUGGCCAUUGUGAUGUGUGAACAACCUAGCAGUAAAACACUUGGAGAUGGUUUUUUUUUUUUUCCACUACUUGCCAAAAUCAAGUGUUUAUUAUUAUGCAACAUGGUUAAUGGAUUUCCGUUAUUUUACCCAACCUGCACUAUUAAAUUAGAGGCUGCAAGCACUCAUCCAUCACAAGAUUUACAUUUUCAAUUCCUCCCUUUUAACUAGCAGGGCCUUGUAAGAGACAUGUGAUCCAGUCUAUAUAGAACCACUGAAUAUUAUAUCUUUUGACCACAAGUCACUUUUUGCCAAUUAUUUAGUUUGAUUCUUUGUAAAACUAAAAAAUUCUAUCAAUUUCCUUUUCAAAAUUAUAAUAAAAUAUAUAUUAUAUGCUAAACUUUUCUAGUACCUAAUAGAAUUCAUUCAAACCUCAUGCUUUUUGCUUGUGGCUAGUGAACAUGCACCCAGAAUCAAAUGAAAACAAUACCUAGCACACACCCUUGUACAGGGAAUCUUGGGCACGUGGCCAGGAAGUAGAGAGGAGUAUUCUACUCGAUUCUACUGCACCGUUAAUACCAUACACCUUUCAGUGUAAUUCACUGGAGAAUAAAAUAGUAACUGUCUCCAACUAAAAUAUUGUGUAAUGAAUUAAGAGAACUUCUGAAUGUCAGUCUUGUGUAUAUUCUCAGUAAUCUAUUCCACAUCUAGAUAUUUACAGGGUUAUUCAAAGUGUCACUCUCACCCUCCCCUGCAAAAUGAGUAUUACAUAAAGAUCCUCCAUAGAGCGGCAGCUGAAGGGCCAGGAGCAGAAAAGGAUCAGCCAGGGAAGGAAGGUGGCGCCCGCAAGGGGCAGGUUAUGGCAGAUAUGUAAAAUCCCCAGACGGUAACGGUGUUAUAAGUCCAAAAUAACCAAAUUGGGAAAAAAAGAAAAUCUAUGUCUGCAAUGCUUCUUGAUCAGCUACUUUGGCUUAAAAUUUAAUAUUCACUGUGAUUUUACUUUGAAUUCGCACCUUUCUGAAUAACCUGUUAGUUUGAUUCCUCUCUGGUUAAUUGAUCUUGGGAACUAAAAUAUAGCUGCAGUGAGAAGCAUUUCAUCAAUGAAAUAUUAUAGCUAAAAUGAGUUAAAGACACUGUUCCCUAUUUAUAUCUAGUCUAGCACUUUCGCAGACUGAACUGCUUGUGUAUGGUGCAUGCGCAAGCACGGUCACAUUCAUUCUUUUGAGGAUGAGUUUUUAAAAAGGGUUGAGCUUAACUUUUUAAAGGUUGUGUAUUUAGGCUGCAUGAAAUAAUUAUAUACAACCAAUACCAGAAAAUCGGAUAAGCGCUAUAAGAUCAACUAUACAUGAUUAUGGAAGCAGGCUGCAAACACUAAUGGUAAAGGAUACCAUCCACCCCUUACUGUUGGAUAAAGCUAUUUUGGUGCAACCUGCAUCUGUAUGUUGUAUGAAAUACAAUUGUGUUUGUAAAGCUUGAGGCAUUAAUUGUAAAAUGCGUUUUUGAAUGGGUAUCAAAAUUGUCCGCGUGUCUGUGCCUGUAACGUGUAUACAGAUCACUUUCCCCCCCUGAAAUAUUUAUUGUAUUUAACAAUAAAAAUAUACUAAAUAACAGAUUUGUACAGCGCUACGGAAUCUGAUGGCGCUAUAUAAAUAAUAAUACACAGACCAACCCUGAUUUUAAAUGGUCUCUUGAGGCUAGGCUCACUAACAGCUAUCAUUUAAGGGACACUAUAGGCACACAACCACUUAAGCUCAUUGAAGUGUUCUGGCUGCAAUGUCCCUAUUGCACUUAGUGCUGCAAUGUAAAACAUUGCAGCUCUAAGUCUGCCUCCAGUGGCUGUCUAUCAGCAUCAGCUAUUUCCCCAUAGGAAAGUAUUAGCGCCCGUUUGUUGUCUGACGGAGGAGGUGGAGCUGGACCCAGUGCCAAUGGACAUCGGUGCUGGGAUCAGGUAAGUAAAUAGAGGGGUUUAACUCUUAAUUUACCGUGGCACGAGGGAAAGGGAGGAAGAGGGAGUGAUAGUGCCAGGAAUACAGCUUUGUACUCCUGGCACUAUAGUAUGCCCUUAAGCAUGUCACAAAAUAGCUGAGAGCUGUAAUCGUGUAGUUCUUAAUUUAAAGGAAUGGUAACACUUUUCCUUUCAUUACACAAAACAAUAUGGCUUGUCUAAGAGAAGCACUGUAUAAUCCACUCCUUUCCUGGCUUUCAUAAACCUAGCCUAAUACAUAAAAAAGAGAAGGUUAAUUAAUGCUACUUCUAUAUUUUUACAGAUCAAUUUAAUUCAUUUAGAGUCUAUGUAAGUGUGCCAUCCAGUUACUUUUAACAAAUAUACAUUGUAUCCCUAAUCCAAAAUAUUUUACACAAAACCGGUUUAAGAUGCACUGUGCAAUUUCUACAAAGAAUCGUCCCCCCCCCCAAGUGACAUGUUCACUUCCAUGAUGGUACCAGGUGGAGUGGAGAAAUGGGGAAUUAAAGGUUCUGGUCCUCAGCUCCUCCAUCUUCCGGAACAGGACAAUUUCAGCUCCAGGCUACACAUAACCUCCAGGUGCUGUGCCAGUGGCAUUCACUGACGCCCGCUUGAGAGUGUAAAAUUGAGGUUUUUGAAGACCCUGUUUUGUAGAUCUUCUUGCAUUUAUACAAUGACGCGCUUUAAAUAUCUAUUGCCUUGCAAGGUGUUUCCUUAGCCUUUGUGAGUGUCAGUUAAUGGGACAUUGCAAAAUCUGUCGUUGGAAUCUGUUUAAAGGGACACCCUGAGUACUAAACCACUAUGUAAUGCAGUGGUUGUGGUAAAUAUAUAAUGUGCCUUUUGUCUGAUUCAGUGAAACUUUGCAGCCACUGAGAAACUGCAGUAUUUACAUUUUGACAGAAAUAUGCCUUUAGUGUUUAACCAGACAGGCACUAGAACCGCUUAUACUUCAGAUCCUUUGAUUUUCGAAGGACUUCACAUUCAGUAACGUCACUCACAUGCAGAGUGUGGAGAUGCUGAACGUAGGUGCUGCACACUGUGUAGCACUGACAUAGAAAGCACCUCUACUCUGAGAGACUGCCGCUAGAGUUUUUAAUAGGCAGCACUGUAAACACUGCAUUUUCUCUGUAAAGGCAGCGUUUACAUUGAAAAGUCUGCAGGGGCACCCUAUAGACUCAAGAACCACUAAAUUAAAGCUGCACCCCCCGAACAAUGAGUAUUUCAUAAAGAUUGAAUCUUUACUAAUUCACUGAAAUUCCAACCCAGUCAAGAGAUAUACAGAGACAGUAGGGACUACUUUGUAUUUCUCCUGUGCCUGACUUUUUUUAAAAAAAAAUAUUUUUUUUAAACUUUCUUAGACUCAGAGCAGAGUCUAAGUGUCAAUCCCAACAGCCGUCACCAGUGACGACUGCAAGGAAUUGACUUUGUCUAUGGAGGGUCUCGCGGAAUCCUCCAGAGACCUCAAUGCUGUACUCUCAUGCAUGCAAAAAGUCUUUAUUGAAAUAAUUUUUAGAAAUAUUGAAGGUUUAAAUAUAUAAACACCAUGUCCUAAACAUAUUAAUUAUCACUGCAAAUGAAAAUACUCAUGUUUUGUUUUUGUUUUUUCUCAUUUAAAAACAAACAAAAAAAUCUUUUAAAUAGCUUUGGGGGAAGGGUAAAGGGUGGGGAGAAGCAGCUCCUCUCCAGUUUUUCCAUUUUUUUGUAACAUCCUUGUCAUGAAAGUCCCAGUUUUUAAGCAAAACUGUGCGAAAACUGAUGAUAGAAUUAAGAACACUUGCAAUGUAUACUUGUAUAAAAGCAGACAAUCUUUGUGCAAGCAAUGGAAACCGUAUCUACUGUGCACUAAGACUUGUUGGUGUGGAAUAUAAAUAUUCCUGUAACUAUAACCCAUCGUACCUACAUAAAGAGGAAAUUAAAAGAUAUCCACUGAUUAGAGCUUGGCGUGCUAGAAUAUAAUGCUGCUGGUAUAUCAAAAAGUUGGAUAGUUUUACACUUACCCUCUUCUCAUGACAUGCUUGGUUUGUUCAAACUUCUUAGAACUUUAAUUGGAAGAAAAAAUAAAUAUCCAGGCACACCUGGGCUUUCUUCUAAAAAGCAAUGUUUUAUUGGGAACAAAAAAGUCUGAUAAAGGCUGAGAGGAGCCAAAACGUUGUCUCCACUCCUUUGUUCCCAGUAAAAGACUGCCUUUUUAGAGGCAACCUCAGGUGUGCCUGGAUAUUUAUUUUUUUCUUCCAUUUGAUGUCUCCAUGGAUUGGCCCUUUCCUUCUGGAGCACUCUGCAGGAAGUAUUUCCCAUUUUUCGUGUGUGCAUUAUACUUUUGUAUUCUUGCAAACUUCUUAGGAGUUUGAGUUCUAUGAUGAACCCUACUACAUAUAUCCAAAAACCCCAUGAUAACACGAGUUGAUUGCCUGGACGCAGCCACCCAGUUUCCCAUAGGGAAGCAUUGGGAGGCUGCCGUGCAUGCGCAUUAAAACACCAUGCUGUGACAAUCAAAUGCUUUUGUUAUGGUGGCAAAAAUGUCUUCGUGCAAAACAAAAAUACAGGGACAGUUAAAAAGAGAGUACAAACCGUGUUUGUUUUUUCAGUUUCUUUCUACGGCUCCUAUUUUUGUUAAUUGUAUUGAUACAUAAUUUAUUGUGCUGUGCAUACCAGCAGAAAGCUCUGUCAGUCCUAUAAAAAAACAAGCAAAACUAUAUAUAAUAUGUAUGGGCUUACUUCAUUAGAAAGCAGUAAAGUACAGUGGGACAGAUGCAUAGCAAAAGUGCAAAAAAGGCCUUAAUUGUAAAUGCGGAGAAUCUCAGAAAUGCCUGUGUAACUAAGGAGUUAGUUUUAGACGUUUCCUGUCAUAGUUCAAACUGGAAAUACCAUUCUUAAAUGAAUGAUGUGGCUAAACCAACAAUACUUAACCAAGUUAAAGAUUGGUCUAUUUGAUCAAGAGUGUUUCCACUGUUUAGUUAUCUAGAACUUAACAUGAUUUAGUUUUUAAUAAAACACAGUAUUUUGGGGUGGAAAAUAUGAAACCAGAUUUUCUGGAUUUCCCUUGAGUCCCAUUAUGAUGAGUGACUGUGUAUCUGUGAAAGAUCCCUUGCAAGAGUACCGGCUUCUGCCGUUACAGGAGGAAUAAAGAUAAUACCAGGGCAGCUACCAGAGGCACUUCCUGUAGAUUCACUUAAUGAGACGACGCUGGACGUGUUGAAAGCCCCCAUACAAAAGCAUUGUCAAUUUUUUGUAUUUUUUUUUUUUUUAAAUAACUAAAAUCUGCUAAUUUGGGUGCUGGCACAAAGUUGUAUGAUGGCUUCCUAUAAUGCUUUGUGGAUGUUGGUGUCUGAACUUGAUUUGCUCUUAAAUGAGCACACGUUACAAGGUACAACUGUAACAUUAACGUGCAUAAAAUCUUAAUGUGAUAACUAUUUUGACUGCAAAGUGCCACCGUGACAGAGAUUUUGGUAACAGAAGGUAGUCUUUGUGACAUUUGCUAUCCUUCCUUUAAGGAGAUCUGACACUUAUCCAUGUAACACCCAAGAAAGCAUUUGAUUAUAGGAACACUAUAGUGCUGAAUCAAUACAUCUCUAUGGGGGAGCGUUCAGCGUCUCCAUAGCGGGGAGAUGCUGAACGUAGGUGCUGCACACAGCACUGACUUAGGAAGCACCUCUAGUGACCGUCUGAGUGACUGCCACUUGAGGUGUUACUACCCAGCAAUGUAAACACUGCCUUUUCUCUGAAAUGUCAUCGUUUACAUGGCUGAGCCUGCAGGGGCAUGCUAUAGACACCAUAACCACUAUAUUGAGAUUUUUCUUUGUAUCCAUUGUAUUGAAUGAAGAUGACGCAAUGUUUUUCAUGUGGGCAAAAGGCACCAACUAUAAUACAUUUCAUAUCUAUAGAGCUCAAAGAAACACUCCUAUGAAAACAAAACGUAUUUUUUUUUUUCCAGUUUACUAGAAUCCGUCUUUUCUGACAGCUUUUGCCUGUCACAACCUCUUCUAGGUUUCUGAAAUCUAUCCAUUGAGAUCUGCCAUAAGAUUUUAUGUCCUUGUUCUUUGACGUGUCGCUAUAGGGAGUUACAUAUUCCCUAUUCGAAUUGUUGAAUUAACCCCUUAUUUUAUGUUUUCCUUGUCCUUGGGUGUGAAAAGGUUUCUUUAUUGAUGACGGAAUCGCAGUAAGAACAUCCAGACUAUGGGAAAGUUCCAUAUAUAGGGGGUUGCAACUAUCCAUUUUUUUUUUUUAAAGCUACAUACACCUACCAAUACAAGUUUGUCUCUCCAUCAGUGGGAACAGUGAUUCCGGCACAUUAAGGUGUGCAUUCCUCAACAGUGGUUUUUAAUCACAUGUACGAUCUGGUUUCUUUGCUUGUUGCGCUCAAUACUUCGUUUUGACCAUGGGGUAAAGUUGUAAGUGUAUCACAAGCAUGAUGGCUGACCAUAUGUACAUUAGUUUUUCUGUCGGCUGGUCAAUCUGUAUUGUUCAAUUUUCAUGUCCACAUCUCUAACCGGAACAUUUACUUUGUGUUGACUGAUGGUGCAUGUAAAUUCAAUAUUUUGUAGCAAUGUAUUGAACUCAUGAAUACAUUCUACUAAUGAUUCUUGUGGCCCCCUCAAUAUAGCAAAACUAUAUUGUAUAUAAGUCUCCACCAUACUUCAUAUGUUCUUUGAACAACAUUUUGGUGUAAAUGUAUUUCUUCUCAUAGCUUGCUAUAAACAGAUUUUCACAGGAGGGGGACAUAUUAGAAUCCAUCGUAUUACCUGCACAUUGUGCAUAAUUGGUAUCUUCAUACAAAAAGUAAUUGUAUUCAAGAACUAUGCCGAGUAGUUGUAGCAAUAAGUUUUGUUGAAGGACUAUGCCCAAGAGUUGAAAUAUGAAUUCCUGUUGUCCUGCUGUGUAUCUGGUGUCUGGGUAGGUAUUGAGUAGAGUUUCUUUACCUAUAAAAAUUUUUUUUUUUUUUUUACCUAAUGAAAACAUGUGAGCGUUGAGUGAUAAUCUCAGUAGCAGUGGUCUAGCAAAUUGAACAGGUGAAAGAAACCUUCUGCACUCGAGAUUUUGUGGAUUAUAUCUGUCGUAAUGCUGUUACAGCCAUAAUGCUGGUAAAGCAUCUGGUAGAUGUAGUCCACAACAUCUGGAGCUCGAAAGGUUGGUUGCCUUGUACACUAGAGAUCUCUCCCAUGUAAACACACUCGUAAGUUCUCGUCUUGAUACAUUCUUUCCAAAAACAAGUUGAGACAAAAUUCAGAGUAGCAUUUAACAUUAAAUAACUUAUGUUAGUAGUUCAAUUUUUAUGUUGCAGGCACAUAUUAUUAGUCAGUCUUGGGAGAUUCAUCAUGGGUAAUGUCACAAAGGAACGACGAGUAAAAAUAGUGGAAUUUUAUUUUUAAAAUGACAGGUCCAUUGUUUGGACGCAAAGUGCAAGAAAUUCCCAGAUAAAUUGGCCGCCACCUUUGCCUGUCCUUUCGGCUCCCGAUUACUGUGAUGUGGUGAUAUCUGAAGUAGUGGGUACAUGCGGACAGCCUGCUUUUACUUGAGCCGCUCCAGGAGAAUAUCCGUGCAGACAUUUGAGUGGCAACACCUCAAAAAUGGACUGUUAUGAACAAUGCAAGCGAAAGAGCUUGACUUUGCAAGGCAGAAAAUGGAGCUCAUUUAGAAGAUGUCAUAUUUGGUACCUAGUCAAACAAAUCUCCAUAUGUUAAAUCAGGGAUGCCUAGAUGUUGUAGAACUACAAUUCCCAGGAUCGCAUGCCUUUAGAACAGGGGUCCUCAAACUUUGGCCCCCCAGAUGUUGCUGAACUACAACUCCCAUGAUUAUUUGAAUUACAUAGAUAGCCAGAGAAUCAUGGGAGCUGUAGUUCAGCAACAUCUGGAGGGGCCAGAGUUUGAGGACCCCUGCUUUAGAAUGUAUUACAAUGACAAAGCAUCAUGGAAGCUGUAGUUUUAAAACAUCUGUGGAUCUACCUUGUGUGCAUCCAUGGGUUAAGCAUUCAUUGUAUCUAAUGUAAUUGUAAUUGGUUCAUUAAUAAAACAAUUAACGUCUCAAACUCUACUCUGAAUUUUGUCCAACCUUGUAGUUGGUUAGUGGAUCCUUCUGUCUCUACAGAAGGUUGUUUCAUACAAAGUUAAACCUUUUUCUCUUAAAUCCUCUGUUCCGACUUAGAAGUAACCUUCUUUGCUUUGUCCUCUUUUGAGUUUUUGUCUUUCAAUUCCUUUUGGUCUGUUAUUAAAAGUGGCCAGUCUGUAAUUAUGGAUUCCCAUUAAAGGGAUUCAUUGAUGAAAGGGCAUUAUUAUAUCUAUUAUGGAAGAUGGCUCAAGCAAAGUCCUUGAAUAUUUCAAACAUGCAUUUGUUCUCAUGCAAGUUAGCAUUAUAUUUAGGGCUUGCAAAUUCCACUAGUCCACUCGCCUGUGACGAGUAAAAUUAAAUGAAAAAAAUAAGUAAAAACUUUUUUUUCAGAUGUGUGGAUAGUGAAUGGACCUCAAAGGUUUAUCCCCACCUGACUAUUUUGAAUCCGACUCUUAAACAUAAAGUGAUUUAUAUAGUUGUUCUACACAUGCUUACAAUACCGUACCAGGUAACUUGCUAUUGCCUCUUAAUUUUGCUUUUGUUGAGGCAAGUAUUUUUAAUAAGAACUUCUAUGAAAAGCUGUGCUGUAGGAUCAAUAUUGUUUUCAUUUUAUCUUUCAAGAAUCGAAGAAGGAAAUGAAAAUCUCAGUUUCCCAUUUUUUUGAAAACAUGUAUUUUGUACGAGAAAAUAUUUAAUGCCCUUUUAACCCCACCCUUUCUUUGCUUUAUGUGAAUGCCUUGCUAAUGAGCUAUGAAUUCGUGGCUUGCAGUAGACGUCAACACAUUUUAACUGAUCACACUUUUUUCAAGUGUGAAAUAUCUUCAUUAAAUUAUUUUACACAUUUUUAGUCACUCUGCCUUCUAUUCUUAUAGUGACAGUAUCUUAACUAGAAUGUUAGAUUUGGUAUGCAUAUACCCUAAAUUUUAAGAAUUUAUUAAAAUAUAUACAUCUAACCCUCCCCACUGAUCCAGAUAUAUGUAUCUCUUGCUCCAGCCCCCCUCACAACUUUUAGUGGUCCCUGGAUCGAUGCUGCUGACCUUUUCUUCCAUUGUGCUGGUCAAGCCAGUUAUUGUUCCACGGUGUCUCCAUAUUGGAGUUUCUAAGAUGGUGACCGCUGAAAAUUGCUUUGUCUGCCUUUCCAAGAGUGUGAGCAUUAUGUCGCAUGCAUGCCCAGUUCGUCAAGUGUCCACACAGUCGAUGACGUGUCGAUGGAAGUAGACGAGGAAGAACUUGACCACCAAUGACAAAAGUUGACAAAGGACAUGGAGCUAAACUAAAUCUUCACCUGACAACUUUUGUAAACCCACAGGUUGUACCUAAAGAAAAGCAGUACCACUUUACCUCACUUAAACUUUAACUUAAAUUUUUUAUAUAUAGUGGGGGGUGUGGCUUGGCUUUGUCAAAACUCUCUUUGCAGGACAAUCUAUUUGGCUCCACUGAUCUAAGCAGGGGUAUGCCAUGGUCAUGUAUUGGAAAUGCUUAGCCCCGUGGAAAGAAUCCUACUGGAGAAACCACUUGUGGUGCGGGCAUCUGUUUGAUAAUGUUCAUAACCUUCUAAAUUGGUUUGAUUAAUUACUUUGGGGGGCUCCAGCAGGCUGUGCGAGUUAGGCUGCUGUGAGUAUUCCUUUUAAUAUUUUACACUGUUAAAACAUGGAUCAAUGCAGAAAUGUGUUCAUAUUAAAAUUUCAUUUAAAUCUGUAACUUUCACGCAUCAACUGAUAAGGGAUAAUUUAUUUGCGUUGAAACUUAUAAUAUUAUUAUUAUUGCCAUUUAUAUAGCGCCAACAGAUUCCAUAGCACUUUACAAUAUUAUAAGAGUGGGAUUUAACUAUAAAUAGGACAAUUCCAAAAAAACUUACGGGAACAAUAGGUUGAAGAGGACCCUGCUCAAUCAAGCUUACAUUCUAUAGGAGGUGGGGUGUAAAACACAUUAGGACAUGAAUUUACAGUCAAAUAAGGUGGGCUGCCCUUUAGGAGAGAGCAAGAGACAGGUAUGUGAGCUAGAGGUUCGUCUUGGAGGCCAUAAGCUUUCCUAAAGAGAUGGGUUUUAAGGCACUUCUUAAAAGAUGCAAAACUAGGGGAUAGUCUGAUGGCGAUAGGCAGGCUAUUCCAUAGGAAGGGAGCCGCCCGCAAGAAGUCCUGCAAGCGUGAGUUGCCCGUACGGGUGCGGACAACAGACAGGAGGUGGUCACGGGCAGAACGGAGAGACAGAGAAGGCACAUACCUAUGGAUCUGUGAGGAGAUAUGAUGGGCUAGAGUUGUUCAGUGCUUAGAGAUUGUAUAGAGUAUUUAGAAACCAUGCUUUAGAUAUUUCAAAGGAUCCAGAUUCCCACAGUAUAAAGUCCAGUUUAAUGAUUUCAGAGUAUGUAAAGGGCAGUUGGCUGACUCAAUCCCAAGUGUGCCCAGAGCUGGGUUAGUCAUUACUGCUCUCCAAAGACCUUUUCGAAUGGAGAGCAGAGUUGCACUGCUUCACCUGUCAUAUUGCAUUGACCCAUGCUGUUAUAAAAAGAGUUUAACUAGCUAGGAGGUAAAUCCAGUCAAGAAGACUCAUUGCUAAGUUAUGGGGGGAAAAGGCAGAGCAAAAUAAUUAACUGUAACAAAUUAUUCUGCAGUGCUUUACAAUAUUACAAAAAGAAAUGUAAGAAUCAUUCAUUUUAUGAUCUAAAAAUAUAGAACCUUAUUGCUUCAGUCUCCUGUAAUUUAAUGAAUUGCGUUGGCAAAAGGUCAGUGAAUUGUUACAUGUUAAUGCCGGCCCUGUCACCUUCUGGGGUCUCUGCAUAUUUUGCAAAGUCACCAGAUAGUGUCUGACCCUCUUGUAUUUCCGUAACCAAGGAGGCAGGAAAAGAUGUUUUUUAAUUACUUGAUCCUGUCCUCAUGGGAUGAGUCAUCUUUUCCCUACAAUUACUCUUAGACUACAACUCUUCAGCUCCUGGCACUAAAUCUGCCAAGAGCCAUUGUCGGCGUUGUGCAAAAACACUGGAUUCUCCACGGUAGGAGCCUUUUCCCCCACUGCCCUCACCACUAGUGACAGCUGAGGGCUUGAGAAAAGGGAGUUCUGCCCUUUGUCAAACAUAGGAAAAAUACAUAAGACAAAGUAGUCCCUACUCUCUUUAUAUCUUUUGACUGGGUUGGGAUUUUACUGACAUUUCAACAGUCCUUAUGGUGACAUACACUUUAACACUGUAAAACAAUUCUGUGACACUGUUCUUUUGAACCGUUCUACUCCAUACAGUGGAACAACAGUGAACUGCAGGCUCCACCAUAACCACUACAGCCUGCUUGGUGUUCAUGUAACUAGCUUUAUGCUUAAAUAUGGUCAGAUUGUCAAAUUAUAAAUACAACAAUGUUUGAAAUAAUUUAUUUGAAUGGAUUGGAGUGGUAAUCAUCUUAAAGGACCACUAUAGUGCCCUGAGGGUGCCCCCCUCCCGCCAGGCUCUAGGGGGUUUAAGGGGUUAAAUUUACCUUUUUCUCCAGCGCCGGGCAGGGAACUCUCUUCCAGAUCGCCGUCAUCGGCUGCAUGCGCGGCAGGAGCUGCGCGCGCAUUCAGCCAGUCCAUAGGAAAACAUUCUCAAUGCUUUCCUAUGAACACUGGCGUCUUCUCACUGUGAAAAUCAGUGAGAAGUGCCUCUAGAGGCUGUCAAUGAGGCAACCACUAGAGGCUGGAUUAACCCUAUUAUAAACAUAGCAGUUUCUGCUAUGUUUAUAGAAGAAAGGGUUAAUCCAAGCUGGACCUGGCACCCAGACCACUUCAUUAAGCUGAAGUGGUCUGGGUGCCUAUAGUGGUCCUUUAACUCUCCUCCACCUGAGAUGUCAUGGAGCUGGUAUUGCCUCCUCCAGCGUGAGCCAAUCCAAAGCUCCUCUUAGCAAGGCAUUAAAUCAAUGCUUCCCUUUGGAGGAUUCCAUGUAGCGUGACGGUUUUACUCAGUCGUUGCCGUUGAAGCUCCUCCAGUGUCUGUCAGUGUAACAACCAGUGGAAGGGAGUCUAACCCUUCAAAGUAAACAUUGUCUAUUCUGCAAAGAGGCAAUGUUUUACCUUGAAUGGUUAAAUUGACAGGACUGUUGCAUCCAAGCCACCAUUAAGCUAACAUAAUGAGAAAGGUUUGAGUCGAUCUUUUUUUAUUUUUUAUUUUUUUUUAGAGAUUUAAAGAGAGCUGUAAUGGUUGUGAUGCUUAGAAUGCUCAUUGUGUUUUGUUUGCCUUACGAAUGACAAGUCUGUAGGCUGUUCAAUUGACCAGUCAAUAUUCCACAUUAUGACUGCAUUUCGUAUUUCAAAUUCAAAUCCCUUUGAUUUUCAAGUGAAAUGCAAAGUGAAUUCUAAAUUUAAGACCAAAGUAUUCAAAGUGGAAAGAGCGGACUUAGAGAAAUUUUCCAUUUUGGGUGCUUUCACCUUAAAUGAUACCUGUUGGCACUAUAACUAUUUCAUCUCACUGAAUUGGUUAUAGUGCUUGGUGACCUCUGGCCAUGUCCUUCUAUUCAGUGUCAAAAAUCCUGGCAUCCCACUACAAGAUUUAUACACAUUUCACUCCCUAUAGGCUUUAUAAGCUACAAUUAUCACCUACUAAUAAGUGUUGGAGGGAAUGUGGUAAUGUUAUGCAAUAUGCUGUGGACAUGCCAUAAAAUGCAGUCUUACUGGGAUUACUUUUUUUUUUUUUUAAUUAGACUUAUUGAUGACUCCAUAAUUACAUUAACGCCUGAACUGUGCUUGUUCAAAAUGAUGCCUAAUAAUUUACCUAAACAUAAAUGCAUAAUCCUAGGCCAUAUUCUCAUUUCAGCCACUGUGGUUCUUCCACAUCAGUGGAAGCUUCCUGUAGUUCCGGAUAUUAGUGAAAUUUUUAACCAAUUGUUUGAAAAUUAUAAGAUGUGAAAUUGUGCUUAGUUUACCGCCCCAUACACUUAAUCUUCUUAGAUGUGAAUGGGAUAUCAAAGAAAGACAUCAGACAGACGUACAACUUCAAUUUUUGACCCCACCUGACCAAAAUGUUAUAUAUACACUGCUCAAAAAAAAUAAAGGGAACACAAAAAUAACACAUCCUAGAUCUAAAAGAGUUAAACAUUCUUCUGAAAUACUUUGUUCUUUACAUAGUUGAAUGUGCUGACAACAAAAUCAGACGAAAAUAAAAAAAUGGAAAUCAAAUUUUUCAACCCAUGGAGGUCUGGAUUUGGAGUCACACUCAAAAUUAAAGUGGAAAAACACACUACAGGUUGAUCUAACUUUGAAGCAAUAUCCUUAAAACAAGUCAGAAUGAGGCUCAGUAGUGUGUGGCCUCCACGUGCCUGUAUGACCUCCCUACAACGCCUGUGCAUGCUCCUGAUGAGGUGGCGGAUGGUCUCCUGAGGGAUCUCCUCCCAUACCUGGACUAUAGCAUCUGCCAACUCCUGGACAGUCUGUGGUGCAACGUGACGUUGGUGGAUGGAGAGAGACAUGAUGUCCCAGAUGUGCUCAAUUGGAUUCAGGUCUGGGGAACGGGCGGGCCAGUCCAUAGCAUCAAUGCCUUCGUCUUGCAGGAACUGCUGACACACUCCAGCCACAUGAGGUCUAGCAUUGUCUUGCAUUAGGAGGAACCCAGGGCCAACCGCACCAGCAUAUGGUCUCACAAGAGGUCUGAGGAUCUCAUCUCGGUACCUAAUGGCAGUCAGGCUACCUCUGGCGAGCACAUGGAGGGCUGUGCGGCCCCCCAAAGAAAUGCCACCCCAUACCAUUACUGACCCACUGCCAAACCGGUUAUACUGGAGGAUGUUGCAGGCAGCAGAACGUUCUCCAUGGCGUCUCCAGACUCACAUCUGUCACAUGUGCUCAGUGUGAACCUGCUUUCAUCUGUGAAGAGCACAGGGCGCCAGUGCGAAUUUGCCAAUGUUUGUGUUCUCUGGCAAAUGCCAAAUGUCCUGCACGGUGUUGGGCUGUAAGCACAACCCCCACCUAUGGACGUCGGGCCCUCAUACCACAUUCAUGGAGUCUGUUUCUGACCGUUUGAGGAGACACAUGCACAUUUGUGGCCUGCUGGAGGUCAUUUUGCAGGGCUCUGGCAUUGCUCCUCCUGUUCCUCCUUGCACAAAGGCGGAGGUAGCGGUCCUGCUGCUGGGUUGAUGUCCUCCUCCACGUCUCCUGAUGUACUGGCCUGUCUCCUACGCUGACAGACACAGCAAACCUUCUUGCCACAGCUCGUAUUGAUGUGCCAUCCUGGAUGAGCUGCACUACCUGAGCCACUUGUGUGGGUUGUAGACUCCGUCUAAUGCUACCACUAGAGUGAAAGCACCGCCAGCAUUCAAAAGUGACCAAAACAUCAGCCAGGAAGCAUAGGAACUGAGAAGUGGUCUGUGGUCACCACCUGCAGAACCACUCCUUUAUUGGGGGUGUCUUGCUAAUUGCCUAUAAUUUCCACCUGUUGUCUAUCCCAUUUGCACAACAGCAUGUGAAAUUGAUUGUCACUCAGUGUUGCUUCCUAAGUGGACAGUUUGAUUUCACAGAAGUGUGAUUGACUUGGAGUUACAUUGUGUUGUUUAAGUGUUCCCUUAAUUUUUUUUGAGCAAUGUACAUUGUGAUAUUUUGUAGCAUAUGCUACAUUUGAUUUAUUAAUAAUUUACUACUUCCAGAUUUUUAUUUAUUUACAUUAUACCCCGGUUUGAUUGUUGUAUCAAUAUUUUACUUAUCUCAUACUGAUUGUUCAUUUUAUUGUCAAAUUUGAAAUCUUUUAAUAAAAAAACUAUUUGAAAACUAAGGGUCCCUGGCCACCUAUAGCACAGCCCCAACUGGAGGUUUGGCUAAGCCUUAGGUUACUUCCUUCUAGCAAUACUAAUUCAUGUCAGCAGUGGGUGAUGUGAUGGACUGAAAGCUGACACUCUCAACCAACGAAUGCUGCUCAGAUUUUUGCCUUCUCAUUAGCCCAAGCAGCACAAAGUGGGGGGGCGGCUGCUUGGGGCUCUCGUUUAGCAAUAUAAACAUUAAAUAAUGUUUUAAUUCUGAAUGCAAGGACGUCACCAGAGGACUCAUUACACUAUAACCACUUCAAUGAGACAAAGCUUUCAUAGUACCUACAGUCCCGCUUUAAAUUUUUAUACGCUGUCUGCUUUCACUUCAUGCUAACCACGCACCACAGGUUUAACAAAGUUAUUUACUAAAGCAAAAGUUAAAGCAUGCUGCAAUGACUAUGGUGCCAGGAAUUCCCUGGCUCCUUCCCAUGAUUGUACCUGCAUCUGUCAGGGACUCUAGCUAUGGUGCUUAGACUGCCCCUUAUACAAAGGAUACAUAUAUUUUAGGGAAAAAAAUGAACUGUAAGAAUUCUAAAAACAAGUAUUUAAACUUGAUUUUCUUUUUUCUUUUCCAUUUGGUCUAACUGUACAGUUACUGGCUUAACAUGCAACCAUUGUCUGUGAGUUUAAGCUGACACUUCAGGCUAGAAUAAGCCUCUAUUAUUUUAUUCAUGAUGAUAAAGCAUUAUAUAUAUAUAUAUAUAUAUAUAUAUAUGUAUAUAUAUAUAUAUAUAUAUAUAUAAAAACCAUAUCUCUGCUGCGAGCUCGCCAGUAUGCUAUAAUCUCUCCCUCAGCAUAGUCUUCCCACUAGCAGUUCAGCUACUGUAUGUCAUCUCCACCUGUUCCAUCAAGCUCCUUCAUAGAAGCAAUAGAAUGAAGGAAAGCCAGAGCAAGAGACAUUUUUCAAAGCAUUUACACUUCUGCUAAAAUCCUUGUCCAUUAAGUCUACCAUGAAGUAUAUGAAGCAAUGGUUCUCUAACCAGCUCUCAAUGUUUUAGUAAUAACACCUGUGGCACUGGACUGGGUCAUGGUUCCUGACAAGUGGUCCUUGAUAAAUGAGAACCGUUAUAGAUCUCUCUAGUGGUUAUGGUGCCAGGAAUGCCCUGGUGCCACCCACUUGGAAAUAGUCAAACCGUUUUAGAAUGGUAUCACCUUUUUACUUCUUUCGACGGAGAGCCAGAAGCCACUAAGCGGGAUCUUCUGUUGUCUCUCCUGAGCUAAGAGCCCUGCAGUGAUGACCACUCCGAUCCAGCAUAACGCUAAGCCAAACUAUUCCCCCAGCCCUCACUAGGUAGCUCCAACUUUUAUCAAGUUUAACACAUAUUGCCAAAGAAUUGGAGUUGUUUAAAGAUGGCACGAGGGUUAAAAUUAUAUUUGUUGAUUGGACAGUGUAGAAAGUAGGUGAUUGUCACUUUGAAAUAAUAUUGGUAACUACAAUAAAAAGGGUUAGUUUUUUUUUUUAGAAGGAUCUACAUCUCUCUGUUAAAGUAGGAGGUGAAGCAGCAGCAAGUGAGUUAAUUUUUGUGUUGACUUCUACACAUGGUGUUCUGGCCCAGAUGGAUUUGAUAAUGUGUUCAAAAGUUGGACAUUACGAUAAUAGAUUUUCCCAGCAGUGAGCUGUAAAAAGCCCUUUUGCUUCAGUGUGCGACUUGUUUUCCCAUCUGGUACCUUGUUCUUAGAAGAGGAUUGACUUGAAUAUUUCAUGACAUCUGAAUGUUGCCCUGGGAACAAAUGUCACCCAAUCUCUCUGUCAGAUCAGAUUCCUUGCUCUAUUUAUUCCUGAGGCAGGCCUGUUUUCAAUGAAAAAAUGUAAAUUUGUGAACUUAGAUUUUUUGGAAAAUAUGAUGCUGCUCUCGUUGCAUGUAUGAGUAGAAGUGACCUCAGUGAACAGUUUAUAAUAGUCCUAAUUUCUUCAUUCUUGGCUCAGAGUUUCCACAAGCACAAAAGUUGAGUGUCUUGUGAGAAUACAUUAUAAAAUGAACAUUUCUCCCAAGUAGUGUUAAGCUGGAAUUAAAGGGACGCUCCAGACAACAUAACCAGUACAGCCUGUUUUGUAAAUAGGGAGUCAGUGGCUGAGAGGAUCAGCCAAUCAGCUGGCGCCCUGCCCAUCGGCUCCACCUGGGGGGGAAUUGAGAUAAGUGCUGGUGGAAACUGUGGGGUUAAACCGUUUGAGUAAUGUUUUAUCUCCUGAAAGUAAGAAGGCUCAGAUAACUGCAGAUAACUUCACCAUAACCAUAGAUGAAGUUAUUAUGGUGCAUACAUUAUCUUUUUAAAUUAACACUACAGUGUUAGGAAUACAAAACAGCAUUCCAAACACUAUAGUACCCAUCUACUGUUACCCGAUGAAAAUAAGACAUCCCCAGAAAAUAAACACUAGCUUAUUUUUGGUGGAUGCUGGUAAUAUAAACCCUAGUUGAGAUUGUCGCUAGUUCACUAAUCUAUGUUUGGGGAAUUUUCUCAGACCAUAGAUUCGUGGGAUUCCAUGCACUAGUAAGGUCAUCUAUUUUCGUGGAAGUUUCCCCAAACAUAGAUUCGAGGAAUUCCAUACCCUAGUUAACUGGUCUUUGUUUGGGGGAAUUUCCCAGAGUGUAGACCUGCUUUCUUGCACAUGCUUGCUACCGACAUCCCCCCAAAAUAAGCCCUAGUGCGUUUUUUUUUGUUUUGUUUUUUGCAGCAAAAAUUAAUGACCCGAACUUAUUUUCGGGGGGAAACGGUAGGAGGACUGUGUAAGUCAUGUCCAGAGGAGGUGUGGCUAGGGUUGCAUAGACAGUGUUAUUUACUAAAGUAAGAGUUUAAAUUGAAUGUAAAAUUUUAGAUCUGAGUAGCCAAAAUGAAAGCACAGGUGACAGAGAAUUUUUCAAGCUUGUUUUUUUUUUAUCUGAAAAUUGAAAUUCACUAUUCAAUUUUCAGCAGUGGGACUGCCGGAGUAUAAUCUAUACAUCAAACCCACAUUAUUAAGCUAAAAUUGUUUUGGUGCUUAGGGGACACCCAGUUAAUAACUAAAUGACCUCGGCACUGUUUCUCAUUUCAUAAAAGUACCCCAUAAUUAUAGGCUGCUAGCAAGUUGGUUUCUUGAUUACUACUGUUCAUACAACAAUACAUAAAUGAAUGUAUAACACUCUAGUGUUUCUUUAACUGCAGACGCCUGCUAUAUUCAUCUAGCUCUGUGUUUGCUUUCGUACAUCCUUGUUUUGAAUGUCUAAACCUAUGUUUAGCAUAUGUUGAGUAUUUUUCUAGUCUGUUUAGAAAUGGAAUAAAAGCCCCAGUUGCGUGAUCUUUUACUAAUUGAUAUUUUUUGUCUUGCAGGCAAAGUACAUCUCUCAUUGCAUCGAUGAGAUCAAACAGGAACUAAAGCAGGAUAAUAUAGCGGUGAAAGCCAAUGCUGUCUGCAAGCUGACAUACGUGAGUCUUGGCCAUCCUGUUAUUUUCUUGUAGUGAUUGCUAUCAUUACUGCCCUGUCUGGAUCAUAGCAGAAACAUCUGAAAGGUUCUUUUUCCACUCUUAUUUUUUUUUAUUUUUUUAUUUUUAAUGGGGAGCUACUGAUAGCCUGAGAGUGUCUGGUGACGUUCUCAGCUUAUCAGAAGGCACCCAGUCCGAGGCUUCCUGAUUGAAUCCUGGGACAUUGAGUAAAAAUAAAGCUUCAAGCAAUCUGGCGUACGCUUGAAGACUUUGGGGUUCGUUAAUGGUUUAACUUCAGGUAAGCUGACACCCAGAACCUCCUCACACCAUAACACCUUAAUUACAAUGAUUAAGGUGCCGGAGUGGUCCUUUAAUGUUGAUUUCUGUUGUACACUAGGAUUACGGAAUAAUGCCCAUUGCGUCAAUAACGAGCCAGAUAAUUGGGUAAUUCCAAAAUGAGUGUGAAUCUAUUAGCGGCAAAACUUUUAUUGCACACAUUUCUGGCACUGAUAGACCUCUCGUAUGAACAACAUUCAAUGACUUGUAUAGAGGCAGUUGAAAUAUUGUAAGAUAGUGUUGUUGUUUUUUUGUUUUGUUUUUUUAAACGGAAGGCUGCUAUUCAGUCAAAUUCAUAUUGUGCCACUGUUUUCUUUAAUAUCAUUCCUACUGCAUAAUUACAUUGACACACAGAGCAGGGAAUUUGACCAUGGGUGCCGUCCUGGGGGGGAACAGCUGCCUAUUAGAACAGGCUAUUUUGCUAGUCUAGCUUCUUGUGACCUGAAUCAUUCACGUGACUUAUAUGAACUGUUUUAAGCACCACUGUAGUUUAAUCCUGUUGCCUAGCUUGUCAUUCCUGUCCCUUUUCAUCUCUCCUGGUUAUGUAACUCUAACCUUUUAAAGGGACACUCCAGUCCCCCUAAAGCACUUUAUCUUAGUAAAGUGCUUUAGGGAUUACCUGCUUGUCCCCUCGCCUUAUUUUCUACAAAUAACAAUUUAAGCAGAGAACUUGGACAUUUUAUAAAUCCCUGUGUAAUGCCUCCUGGCUGACCGGACGAGAGCAGGAGGGUUUCCUGCCUCCCUCCAUUUGAACUAUAGUUUAAAGUGGAAGUGAGUGCAUUGGUUCUAAUGCUUCUCUAUAAGACGUGUUAUCAUAUUGCGGUGAUUGCUGAGCAUGUGCCCUGUCUUUUUUUUUGUGUUUUUGAUACAAGUCAUCAGUAAUGUGUCUUGAAAGGAUUUCUUCCACUCCUCCCCAGCACCAUACCCAGUUCUAAUUCAGUGGUUCUCAAACCAGUCCUCAAGACCCACCAACAGUCCAGGUUUUGUUAGUAUCUCCAUUGGAAUAAAACAGGGAAAUACAUAAAUCCUGGACUGUUGGUGGGCCAUGAGGACUGGUUUGAGAACCACUGAUCUAACUGAAUUGGUUAUGGUUCCUGAAGACCUCUGUUUUCAUUCCACCAUCCAACAUGAAACCAUUCUUAAACAACUUGACAUUGAAUGGUCCUCCGCCAGCCCUACCCCUUUCUGCUGCUCAGGCUAAUGUAAGUGUGUGUUCAGCAUAUCAAUGGCCUCCAGUGCUGGUGUAAAUUUAUAUGGAUAAUGCAGCUAUACAUCCAACAGGGGGAAGAGCCACAGACAGCCAGGAAGCUUUAUGUUGAGUGUCAAACUGAUUGAAAAUAGUUUCACACUAAAAAGUACGAUGGUGCCAAGACUCGGGCAUCAUAACCACUUCUGUGAAAUGAAGAGGUUUAUCUUCACUGUCCAUUUGAAUAUCUGUGGGCAAUGUUAAUUUGAGGUGGCAUUUUCAUUUUUGAAAAAUGUGUUUACAUUGUGAACUGGUUGUAACCACUGAAUUUGUUGACCAUUCCGUGUGCAUUCCACCCACUUUUUAAAUUUUUUUAUUUUUUUUUUAAAUUAGUUUUGCUUUACUGAUAACACAAUGCUACAGGAAUCAUACUUAUCUAGAAGGGCAUUAGUUCAUGUGGGUAUGAAUACUUUUGUUGCACUAAGCAUCUGUUUUUAAUAAUUCUACCCCAACCCCAGCAAGGCAGUUACACCAAAUUAACCCAAAUCCUAUCUGUAAUACCCCAAGUUAUCACUUGGGUUCACUAGAGCCGAGACAGAUCUGAUUAAUAUUUUAAAGUUUGAAGAAAAAAAAAAUCUCCAUUCAUUUGUUUUACUGUUUAAAGUAACUAUUUAGUAGGUAUACCCCUCCCCUUCUCGGUAAAAAAAACAAAGCAUGCUUGUGUUUAUUUUUCUGCAUUUUUUGUAGCCCUGCUAUCGGCAGCUGAUGCAAACCAUCCCCUCUUUCUCCGACAGACUUUCAGUAUGUGCCAGGGAAUGAAUCGGUCAGAUGCUCCUCAUUGAAGAGCCUCUGUGCUGGAUCUCCAGUGCUUCUCAUAGAAAUGGGAGGGAGGGGGGCAGAAGCAUUAGGCACAUUCACAGUCUUCAUGAGGAGGCUGAAAGUGAACAUGUGAAAAAAGCUGAAGGUCUUUCGGACAAAUGUAAACAUGAGCAAUUCUCAGACACCUACAAAUGUCUAGCAGAGCUUGCAGAUCUUGCCCUACAAAUCCAAUCAAUGAUGAGCAUCUCAACAUAUGAUCCUUCUGUACUUUUUGUUUUAUCAGAGCUCUCUUUUCAUGUCACAGGUUGGAAUAUCCCUUGCAUGAAUUAAAACUAAUGCUUCUCAUGAAGCAUUGGUUUUAAUGCUUCUCUAUAAGAUGUGUGAUCAUAUCACGGUGAUAGCUGAGCAUGUGCCCUGUCUGUGUUUUUUUGUUGUUGUUUUUUUCCGUUUUGUUUUUGGUAAAAGUCCUCAGUAGUGUGUCUUGAAAGGAUUUCUCCCACUCCUUCCCAGCACCAUACCUAGUUCAUCUAAUUUAAGGUUAAGGUUUACAUGGCUGAUCUGUGAAUCUGGCACAAAAAUGGUUAAAUAUUCUUGUCCAUUAUUAGUUUAAAAAUUAUAUACACCAAAAAGGCACUUCAAUCUGUGUUAUAAAAGGUGCACUCCAAGCAUCAUAUGCACAACAGCCUGCUGAAUUUCCUGAGACUCUGAGUAAUUUAUCAAACCAUUUUUAGAACGAUUGAUUGAAUAACUUACCAGGGAGCCUGUCGCCACCACUCUGCUUCUCCUGCCAAUUGUCUUUGCAGAGUAGGCCCAAUAGGGGUAUUCGUUCUUUAGCUGAGAGUGCUCACCUGACUAUUUCAGACAAGGAAAGCAGCUCUACCAGGCAUUUGCAUCUUCUUUUCCAGCAGGAGAAAUUGGAUAGCUCCGUAGAAUAAAGCAGGAUCACACGUGUUUGCUGAAUAAAAUCAGCCGAACGUUCUUAAAGGAACACUAUAUAUAGUGUUGGGAAUAACAUGUAUUCCUGAUACUAUAGUGUUGAAGUGGCUGUUUAGGUGAAUAGCCCUGUCUCUCUGCAGUUAAAAGCUUAUUUUACUUUUUUUUUUUUUUUUCAACUCUGCGCUGGUCUCACGGAGGCUGGCUCCGCCUCAACCUUGACAAUCUCAGCCAAUCCAAUGCUUUCCCAUUGGAAAUCAUUGCAGGAGACUAUUGCGCAUGCACAGCUGCUCCAGUUUGAAUCAAUGCAUAUCUAUGGAGAAUGUUCGGCGUCUGCAUGCAAAGUGUGGAGAUGCUGAAGGCCAGUGCUGCACACUGCAGAACUGACACAGGAAGCACCUCUAGUGGCUGCCUUAGUAACUACCACUAGAGGUGUUGCUAGCCAGCAAUGUGAAAACAGUGUUAAUAGUGCUAACACUGUACAUUAAGCUGUAGUGGUUCUGGUGGCUAUAGUGUCCCUUAAACCAAUUAGUGGGGUCCUGCAUCCACUGUGCUUUAUCUACAGAGACUGGAUGUGGAUCGGGCACCCAGUGCGAAAUUGUGCCAGGGCACUUCUGGCUCCGUAACCACUAUAGUGCGUUGUAGUGGUCAUGGAGCUUGUAGCGUUCCUUUUAAUAAAAAUAAACUUGGGCCUGCUGCUACACACACUCUCUACUUCUAUCUGCCUGUUUGCAUCUUUCGCUCUGACAUUAUUUAUUCCUUUCCCCCCAAGCCAUGUCAAAAUACGAAAGUGUGAAUUGCAUGCAGGAACAAGUUGAUCCGAAAGUUGCUGUGAAUCCGAUGCUUCUGUGUUUGUUAGGUUUACAUUGAUUACUUAGAAUGUUUUUUUUUUUAAUUUUUUUUUAAUCCUAACAGUUACAAAUGCUGGGCUACGAUAUUAGUUGGGCUGCCUUCAAUAUCAUCGAAGUGAUGAGCGCCUCCAAGUUUACAUUUAAAGUAAGUGUCUAGAACAGAAUUUUGUCACAGACACAGAGAUCCAUGAUAUAUGUCGGCCUCGGCUGCAAAAUCAUAACCACACGUCUUUCUGUUUUCCAGAGGAUUGGUUAUUUAGCUGCAUCUCAGUGCUUUCAUGAAGCGACAGAUGUCAUCAUGCUGACCACAAACCAAAUUAGGAAGGUGAGUGUUGCACGCAUCUAGUAGUUUCUAUAGUUUUUAUAUAUAUAUAUAUAUAUAUAUGUGUGUGUAUAUAUAUAUAUAUAAUAUUUUUUUUUAUUAUGUUAUGUUAAGUAUUUGCAGAUAAAUAUUUUCAUGUUGGCUUAGUUUACUGUUACUGUGUUACCCUUUAGUAUUCUUGACAAAGAGAAUGCUAAGUUUUCCCGAUUUCUCUUUACAGGACCUGAGCAGCCCCAAUCAAUAUGAUACAGGUGUGGCUCUCACCGGUUUGUCCUGUUUCGUCACUCCUGAUCUGGCCAGGGACUUGGCUAAUGACAUUAUGACACUGGUAAGUUUGCGGUUAGCCUUGCAGUGUCCUCACUUCAAUGAAUUUAGUAAAGGAACAUGUCCGUUAUUGACACUGUUCUGAGUGUAUUUUCAUUCAUGUACUUAUUAUACAAGAUGUUGCCCAAAUUCUGUUGUAGUUUCUUUUGAAUUGUGGAUGGACUCCGUGCACACUAACUUUUUAUGAAACCUAGGUUUCUCUGACAUUAAUAAGUUCAAGUUCAAUUUUUCAUUUAUUUACAUUUCUGGUUUCGAUCCAUUUAAAAAAAGGCACCUCGUCAAUUUUAUUUUAUUUAUUUCAUGAUAUUAAUUUUGAUUCCACAAUGGUGAGUUAGAACAAUCUCAGAUCAGGAAGCUAUCUUUGGCAAUGUGAAAAAUAAAAUGAAAUGUUGAAGUCAACAUCUCUUUAUUUUGCAACUGAGCGCAUCCAUCUUACCUUUUUAUCAAUUGUCAUAAGCUACGCACCAGGCAGUCAACAUCGAGAAAACCUACACAGAAAUUAAAUAAUGUUUCUACUUUACCCUGGCUGUGUGUGGACUAAACUGGCUUGUGACAGAGACCCUGAGUGCAGCAUGAUUCUUGCUCUCUCGCUAUUCCCCUACCCCCUCCCCCCCCAUUCUGCAAUGCUAGUUCUCCAUAAUUGGCAAACCGUAGAUGUUGUAAUAUCAAUUGAAUAAAGUAGCAACUGGGCAAUGUGAGCUAUUUCAAAGUGAAAUAAGGAUGAUACAUAAUUAAGGCUUAAAGAAACACUACAGCAUUAGGAAUACAAAAAUAGCACAUGAAAAAUGUUACCACGCGUUAUAGAUGUUUUUUUUAAAAAAAAAAUUCAUAUGAUCGUUCCCCUAAAACAUUUUUUUUUUUUAAAUUCAUUUCUGUUUUGUACCUUUCAGAUGUCCCACACAAAGCCUUACAUAAGAAAAAAAUCAGUUCUGAUUAUGUACAAAGUUUUCCUGAAAUACCCAGAGUCCCUUCGUCCAGCCUUCCCACGCCUUAAAGAGAAGCUGGAAGACCCUGAUCCAGGUAAGCAUCAGAAAUCUCAAAACACGAGUAAUCAUUCAGCUGCCAAAACAAUCCUGAAAAUAUGACUCUCUUGUUUCUACAUUUCCAGGGGUGCAGUCUGCAGCUGUAAAUGUCAUCUGUGAACUUGCCCGCCGGAACCCUAAAAACUACCUGUCACUGGCCCCACUGUUUUUCAAGCUGAUGACCUCAUCGACCAACAACUGGGUUCUCAUUAAAAUAAUCAAGCUGGUAAGUGGAGGACUAGUGUAUUGUUCCUCAUUAGCAGUUUCCUUGAAGUGUUACAUUCACAGCUCACAUUAAGCGUGUGACUAAAAAUGAAACCACAUGUACAGAUUUUGCAGGUGUUAGCGUGAGAGAGAUUUAGACUUAUUUUAACUCGUUUGAUGAAACUUGGUUUCUAAACCUUGUUUUUAUGCAGUAUACAAACCGUAUUUUAUAUAUAAAUUCUGUUACUUUGGUUUUAUUUAUUAAAAGCAGAAGUCAUUCCUAGAAUGUGCACUUGAUUUGCACUGCACUGCUAUAUAAUAUACACUAGUAGACGUUGUUGUUUGGCAUUCAGUAACUUUGUCUGCAAUUUAAUUCCUUUUUGUUUUUGUGCAUCAACAAAAUGAGCCUUAAUUGAUCAAUUACAACCUUUUGGUUUUCUUCUUACCGAGUUAAUAAUGACUCUCUCAUACUGUAGUUUGGGGCACUUACUCCCUUGGAGCCAAGGUUGGGGAAGAAACUGAUUGAACCUCUCACAAACCUGAUACACAGGUAAAAUUAUGUAAACACGGUCUCUGCUUAUCUGUCUAUAUUCAGCUAUAAAUACAAUCCAAUAGAGCACACUCAAUAAGUUUAGCUAAAGUUCCAAUAGAAUUCAAUGAAUACAAAUAGAUAAUCUAGAAAAAAAAUAUAUAAACCGCGCAUAGCGUAAAACUGUAUAGUAAGUACAAUUUAAGGUAGAGGGUGGAAAAAACUCACAUGAUAUUUUGGCGCUUUAUGAAUGCCAGUAAUAAAUAAAUAAAUGAUGCACAGCCGUACCAGGCUCUGUCUAAGAAGGCCCUUGGUAGAUUCACAGCAGCCACACAACAAAGAUCCAGAUGUAUAAAAAAUGUUUAUUAAAGUAGUAAAUAAGAAUAAAAAAAAUUGUAUGUAAAAAGAAAUGUAUGUGUAUAUACAUAUUAAUGCUAUAAAUUAAGAACAGGAUAAUAUGCUAAAUAUAUGCAAAGUAAAAAAAAUAUAUAAAAUAGUCCGAAGUAUUGUAGGACCUUAUCACAGGCAAUGCCAAACCCUGAUGAAACUGUCUCUCAGCAGACGUGUUUCGACCACAGCAAGGUCUUCUUCAAGGUGCUAUAGAUUCUUCAUGGAUCUUUCGGGUUUUUAUACCUCACAAAGGUUUCAUCUCUGAUCACUGCGUCCCCUUGCAGCAAUUACCUUCUGGCGCAUUUGGACACUGAUGUCCCUUCCGAUACCUGCGUGUGACAUCACUCCUGUACGAGCGAUCUGCCCACAGUUAGUCAAGGGAUUCCAUAGUAAUUCAGGGCAUAAGAGUUUGUCCGACACGGAGAGUAAUCCAUCUUCUAAGUUGCUGAUCAAUUCUUAAAAACUAAUAUAAAUCAUUGAGAAUUAACCCAAUGGCCUUGUAAGAAUAAAAAAAAAACAGUCUUGUAUUCAGAAUAGAAAUUAUACAUAUACAAAGGCAGUGUAUACAAGUCCAUAAGUUUACUAAUAUAGUGUAUACUUAUUGAGUGUGCUUUAUUAGAGGGUUUUUAAUUGAUGUAUAUUGUGUUGUGUUGGAGGAGCACAUUAUACCUUCUACACACACAGGGCACCGACAUUGUUAAUUUUUUAAUCUUUUUAAAGCGUCUAGACAUGUUUUUAUGGUUAUCUAUCUUAAUUAUGUGUUAAUAUAAUCUGGCUAAAUUGUAGGGUAAUCGACUUUACACAUAUAUUGAUAGUGUCUCUGCACACAAAACAUGUAGAUUGUAAACCAUAGCUCUAAAGAUUUAGGAGCUUUUUUCCACUGUAUGUCUGUUUACAUUAUUUUAAAUUUUUGAAAAAAAAGAUAUAUAUUUUUUUAAACUUGGAAAGAGCAUUGGUGAGAAUAUUUCAUGAACACAUAUUCUUCUGUAUUUUUCGAUUACAUUGUAGGGUAACUUAACGAUGAUCAUUCUGUUUAAUCAGUCAUCCAGAUUACAAUUCACACACCAGAUGUCUGCUGAUUAUGUUAUACUGAUGUAUUGAAAACCUUUUAUAUGCUCAAUGCUGCAUAUUAGAACAAUAACCUCUUAUGGACUUAUAAUGGCCCUUGUAGCCAGAACAGUCUGUUUUUUAAGUAUGCAAAUUCUGAAAUGGAAUAAAUCGCUAAAUUAACUACACAGCUGCGUGUGUAAUAAGUGUUACAGUACAAUGUAAUAGUUUAGUCCUUAAAGAGAUACUCCGCUACCCAAAUGAAAAAUAAAUAAAUUUGCUGUUUAGUAGAUAUACACCCAAUGAAAACAUGCAUGAAUUUAAUUAUGCAUUUUGUUCCACUGGGGUUAUAUCCUAAAAACAGCUUGCCAAAGCUGCAGUUAAUUUACCUAAAGUCUUUGCAUUGCUCAUCUUCUAACCCCGCCCAGACUUUGUGGCUGUCCAAUCACACACUUCCCCAAAUGCAGCUCAAUGAGAAGGCGGGUGCUCUGGGCAAUUGCCUGUCUCCUGAAUUAAGCUCCACUGAGCUAAACAAACCAGGAAGUAACAGGACCUGUUGUCUGCUUGAAAGUCAAUGGGUGUAACCAGGUUCAUUUAUAAAAGUGCAAAUUUCUAUUGCAAAAAUAGAACACUCUCUUCACACACAUAGUAUUUCAUCAAGUUAAAGUGCUUAAGGGAUAUGUAGUAUAUCUUAAAGUAAAUGUGUGUUGUAUUGCUUUCAUUAUACAGAGGAGGUUCAAAUUUAAAUAUUACACCUUUGUCGGGUUACAUUUGGCUUAAAGAAACCCUAUUGUGUAAGGAAUACAGUUUUGUCAUUAUUUCAGAAAUGACAUGGGUACAUUCAAGGAGCGUUCAAAGAAUCAUGUCUUCUGCUACUUCUGUAUAUUAAUCCCUCAGUGGCUAUGGUGUUAGAAAGCAGUCUAUGGAAACAGAUUUCUAAAUCAUUGCCUUCCCCUUAUUUUCAUCUUGAUUUGCAGAGCCUGGGCUCCGCCCUCUACCAAGUGAUGUCAUAUGGGGAAGUCUAGCUUUCCUACUGAAUCAUACAAGUACUUGGAAGGCAUGAGCCCCCCACCUCCCCCCUUUUUUUUUUUUACCAUGCAAUCAAAUCAAUACUAAUUAGCAUUUAUUAAAUUGUGUAAAAUAUUUAGAACCAACGAUUGAGUCUUUCUCGAGCUGUGCACAGUGCUUAUGAUAAGUGCAAGCUUACGACACAGUUUUUGCUCAUUAUUGAGGCUGACCAUCUGAGCAGGGUGUGUUCCCACGCCAUAUGAAUAUAGUUCAGUGGGAAAAGCUAGAGAUCUCCAUCUGGAGUUAUGUUUUUGUAAUCUGUACAAUAAGUUGUUGGGCAUAACCUAUAACUACUAAUACUACUAUCAGUUUUAUGUCAAAACAACUUUAUUUUAGGAAUGUGUUUCAUUCAGUUUAUUGCCCACUGUAUUCUACGAAAGGAUUAUGGACUAUGGGGCAAACCACUCGUAUGACGAUCCUUUGUGUUUUCUCUUGAUUGUGCAGAGCAGGGGUCCUCAAAUUCCGGCCCCCCAGAUGUUGCUGAACUAUCUUUGAAUUACAUAGAUAGCCAGAGAAUCAUGGAAGUUGUAGUUCAGCAACAUCUGUGGGGCCGGAGUUUGAGGACCCCUGGUGCAGAAGAAAGAAAAAUCCCAUCCAUUCUCUUUCCAUGUGUACCUUGUUUGCAGUGAACCUUGGUUCCAUAAGUGAAUCUUCAUUUACGUGUUUUCUUGAUAACUGCCUAUUUUGUUUCUUACAGCACAUCUGCAAUGUCUCUCCUGUAUGAAUGUGUGAAUACCGUUAUAGUAGGUAAGUGACUGUUUUUGGCUUGUUUGAGCAAUCACAGCAGAUUUUCCCCCCCUCCCUUCAACAUCCAUUUGUAUUAAAUGGUAAAAAGCUUGAGCAUACCUUGUUCCCAAUCAUGCCUUUGUAUUUUAAAUGUAGUUAAUGUACCAUUUUGUAAUUUGAUAUUGGUUAUGUUAUCACUCAGCAGUUUAAUUGCUUUUCCAACAGUAUUGAUCUCGCUGUCAUCAGGAAUGCCCAACCACAGCGCCAGUAUUCAGGUACUGUAAUCUCUCUCUAUUUCACUUCUGCUCCGUCUAAAAUAAGAAUAAAAAAAAAUAACACACAAAUUGUCUUUUCUUCUUCCAGCUGUGUGUGCAAAAGUUACGAAUUCUGAUUGAAGAUUCUGACCAAAAUUGUGAGUGAAAUCAUCAGGGUCCUCAACUUUUGCAAUAAGUAAGGAGGUAUUCUCAUGGUGGCACAUAUUAUAAUUUAAUUUUUUUUUUUCCUGUUACCAUUUUCAUUUUCCAUAGUAAAGUAUCUGGGCUUGCUAGCCAUGUCCAAGAUCCUGAAGACUCACCCAAAGUCUGUCCAGUCUCACAAGGAUCUAAUCUUGCAGUGUUUGGAUGACAAGGAUGAGUCAAUCAGGCUUCGAGCAUUGGAUUUGUUGUACGGAAUGGUAAGGGGAGACCAUGUUUCUGCUGUAGAGCUAUUGUGUACUCAAGGAUUAGGUGCAUUUAUUAGAACACCCUCUGAAUUGGAAAUAUACAUGCUGUCUACUUAUUCACUCUUUUUUCUUUUGCCUGUUACUGCACACUGUUAGUCUGUGGGAGAUCUAAAAUUGUGGAAGCUAGAGGAUAUGUGUCCCUCAAAUUAUUAGCAGCACAGAUUAAUUUCCCCACUCGUACAGUCAUCCUGGGGCAAAUGUGUGCAGGGCUGACAAUGCUGGUCAUACACUGAGUCAAACCUUGCAUGUGGUCUUGAAUGGCCUGAAUUGUAUUACAAUUGUAGCAAGAUCCCUUUUAAAUAAAUAAUUGUGCUGGUCUUUCCAACAGUCCUUCUGACAGAACUGCACUUUUGUGUAAUAGCGAGGGCUAUACCUAAAUAAGUCUUGCUGUCAAUUCAUGCAAUGUGAAAUACACACACAUAUAUUCGGAAUACGUAUUCAUUUUUAUGUGGGUGUAUCUCACAUUGUGCAGUAGUUGUAGAUUAUUUUUUUUGUCUGUGUAUUAAGCAGUGUACACGAAUUGCCGCAGGAAUAUUUUUUUAUUUUUCCUUUUCUGAAUCUGACACAGUAAUAUCAGUUUAUUAUUAGCAAGUACCUUAAAAUCAGUUCCCAUAAUGUAUUUUAAUUUUAUUGUUCAAACAAUAACAAUAUCAUGUUAGUCAUUUUUUUUCAGUUGCUAAAGUCUGUUCUGCCAUGUUAACCUAGUUGGUCAAGUAAUUACAAAGUCUUUCAUAUUGUUCAAAUCAAUCUGUAGGGAUGUGCAGUUUUUUCCCACAUUUUUUUUUUUUUUUGGCCAAUGAAAAAUAAAAGCGAUAGGCACUGCUUGUCAGAUGAUUGGAAUCCAUUCUUUACUGUGCAUUAACAGCUAGUAAAGUUUGUGAAUAUGCUUUCCAAUACAUGCUUUCUGAUAAAAACACUAUUAUGUAAGUGAUUAGCUCUCCUACAGAUACAUACAUGUGCAAUAUCCACCAUCUUCUAAGGUAAAACUCACAAACCUUAAUACAAUGAAAUGGAAAUUAAAAUAUAUGUGUAUGUCACUUUAAAUAUCACGCAAGUGAAAAGUAAUGAAAAAUAUACUGAUAUAAAUAUUCGUUUGAUAAAGACAUUCUCCAAUGCUUUAUCACUGUCUUUUUUUUUUUUUUUUUUAAAGUAUGUUAAAGUACAAAGAAAUCCAUACACUUAGAAACAGAUAAGCGCUAAACAAGCUCCUUCUGGCCCCGUGUGAUGAACUGCAAAAGUCCUUACAAGCAGUAAGCACAGAUUUAAAUCCACAGUUUCCACUAUUAACUGUUUUAAAACCACGGCAUCAACACUCCUUAAGCAGCCACCAAUACUGAAAGAUCACUGUUGCCAAAUAUGACUGGAUUUGUCAGAUUUUGCAACGAGGUCAUUUUAUACAAAAUUAAGCACCUGCACUCAAACUCCCACUACUUCUCAGCUGCAGCAAUGUCUAUUGUACACAGCCCCAACGCAUAAAAUAAAAACCAAAGAAAAGAGUUACUUGCGCACUAUUCCAUAUCUCUAUGUCUUUUUAAAUAACUGGAGGUUUAUUUUAGUAUCACUCUAAUGGCCAUUUAAGUGUAAGCACACCUGCCACAUCAUAGGAAAACCUCUUUGAGUCCUACACAAACAAUUCACCUUUCUUCUUUCAGCUUAAAGGUAAAAUCUCUGAGAUAGAAAUGGUUAUUUUUUUGUGGGGGAGGGGAUUGCAAGUAUUUUAUGCUUCUGUCCAACAUUAGUGGAAGUUUGAGUGCAGGGCUUAAUUUUGUAUGUUUGCUUUUUGUAUUAAACAGCCAUGUUAAAAUGCUGCAGCACACCCAAUGUGUUUCUUAAGGGUUAAUAAGUGUGACAGGGUUUAGAAAAAUACCCCUCUCUAGAGACUUCACCUUUAAGCUGAAGAAGCCAGGUGAAUUGUUAGUGUAGGACUCACGUAAGGUGUUUUGCCUUGAUGUGGUAGGUGAGCUUACACUGAAAUGGCCAUUCUAGUAAUACCAAAAAAACUCUGGUUAUUUAAAUGUUCGUAGGGAUUUGGGAUAGUGCACAAGUAACUAUUUUCUUUAGAGAUCUUUCCUGUGCUGCCCAAUCUCUCUUAAACAACCUUAAAAAGCCUCACAAAAAUCUGACUGCCUGUCACUCGGAACUACGUGUCUCUGGGUGUCGGGUAAUAAGAGUUUCACAUCCUUGGUAUAUCUAAUUGACAUAGUGAGUUCGUAGUCAUAUCAAUUGAUCAGUUCCACAAUAGAACACCACCCCCAAAUCAGUGGAGUUUGUGAUAAAAAAAGGGAAAAAGAAAUCGGACGUGAAGUUCAUAUAUACUGAUUUUAUAUUGUCUUCCACCUAUCAUUAAUAAAAAUUCACACUUUUUUUUUGCCAACUUUUAGAGUAUGGUCUAAUAUUAUUUAUGGUGCAUAUAUAUUACUAAAUUUUCACUUGGUGCUAUUGAUCUUGUCGAUUCAUGUAGGUGUCCAAGAAGAACCUGAUGGAAAUUGUUAAAAAGUUGAUGAUCCACGUUGACAAAGCAGAAGGCACUGCCUACAGGGACGAGUUACUUACCAAGAUCAUUGACAUCUGCAGUCAGUCUAACUACCAGUACAUCACUAACUUUGAAUGGUGGGUGCUGAGUCCUUUCCUACUAGUCUGUAAAGCAUAACACUGCACAUAAAUUUCUUUCAAAAACCCAAAAAAUCUCUACCAUGUUUCAUUUUGUUGUAUUCCUGCAAAAACUUUGUUUCUUAUAAGCUUAUUAGAAAGUACUGUAAACAAAAAUAGAAAUUUGCCACAAAUGUUGAUACGUUGAUAUUUUAGGUACAUAAGCAUUCUUGUGGAGCUGACGCGUCUGGAAGGGACUCGCCACGGCCAUUUAAUAGCAGCUCAGAUGCUGGAUGUGGCUAUCCGAGUGAAAGCCAUCCGCAUGUUUGCGGUGUCUCAGAUGGCCACACUGCUGGACAACGCACAUCUACUCGCCAGCAAUACACAGCGCAAUGGCAUCUGUGAGGUUCUGUAUGCGGCUGCAUGGAUCUGUGGAGAGUUUGCAGAGUAAGUAUUGGGUCCUUUUUUUUUUUUUCUUUCUUUUUUUUUUUAUAACAUUUCUUAUGUUAUAGAAUUGUAGAAUGGAAUUUAUAGGUGCUAUAUAAAGAAUAAUGUUGAUAAAGUCCACCUCCAUUUUAGCACACCAUGUGUUCUUCUUAUGAACUGUCUUAAUGCUUUAUUGCUAUGUUAUCUGUCAUAAAUGUAAAAGUGAAGUUAUUUGAGGUUCUAAGCCUUGUCCUUCCUAUCGAAACCUUUAGACAACUGCCAGAGCCACACCAGACACUGGAGGCAAUGCUGAGACCGAAAGUUACUACCCUGCCGGGGCACAUCCAAGCGGUGUAUGUGCAGAAUGUAGUUAAAUUAUAUUCCUGCAUACUACAGCGUAAGGAGCAGGACGGAGAUCAGGAGGCAGCGCAGGAGAUCACACAACUUAUGAUCGAUCGGCUUCCUCAGUUUGUUCAGAGCGCUGAUCUGGAAGUACAGGAGAGGGUAAGUCACUAAGGCCUCGAUUUCAGUCUUUUAGAUAAACUUCAGAAAUGUUCACAAUCGGUUAGAUAAACUUUUCAAAUGAUUUAUCAACAAAUAAAAAAAACAUUCUAACACAUUGUAGUUAUUUGAAAAGCUUAUCCAAAAGAAUUAAAAAUUGAGGCUCACUGAAGCAAAUUAUUGCAUACCCAUCACCAUAUCAAUCUGAAUUUUAAAGGGUAACUGUUAUACCGGGUGGGCCGAAAUUCAGAGUAGGAUUUGACCGGUAAAUAACUUACUUGUUAGAGGUUCAUUUUUAUUUAUUUUUUUUUAGUCUUGAGAGAUUUAUAAUAAUAAACAACAAUUGAAAAUAUUGGCGUUACAUUUUCAAAAUGGCAGGUGUAUGAUUGACAAUUGGUUACGUACUGUAGUGGAGAAUGAUCCUGAAAUGUGGUUUCAAUAGUAAGGGGCUACUGCCCAUAUAGCUAGGACAACAAGGGAACUCCUAAGACAACUGUUGAGGUAGUGAAAAAUUUUGAGACAUUCCCAGAUUAAUUGGCCGCCACUUUUGCCCAACCUUUAGGCCCCUGAUUAUGAUGUCAUCUUUCUUACCCAGUCAAAGGAAUCUCAUACGUUACGCAUUCAUUGUAUGUAAUAUCAUUAAAACGUGUUCAUUAAUAAAAAAAAGUUAUUGACUCCUCAAACCCUAUUCUGAAUUUUGGCCCAGCCUGUAAUAAUAAUAUAGAUUUUUGUUUUACAACCCUUUUAGUACAGUAAAUGUUAUUAUGGUGCUUUCUGAUAACAGGAAAACGUGAAUAGAAAAUCUGUUUUUCUGCUAACUGCACAAAGUAAUUAGUGCUGCCAUUAUUAACAUUAAAACGUUAGUGCUACUUACACAAGUCUUUGAUUUCCUCUAUUCUUUAAAGUGAUGUCCGCUCAUACAGCUGAGGUCACAUUGACUCGAGUGGGAGUAUAUAUGUAUGUGUACAUAUAGAGGUGGGGGGGUGUAUGUGUAUAUAUGUGUGUAAUAUAAUAUAUAUAUAUGUGUGUGUAUAUGUAUAUAUAUAUUAAAAAAGUAAAGGGAGCACACUAAGACUACUUCUGAUCAUCUCAUUGGUAAGAUCUAUUUCACUUAUAUGUAUAUAUUGUUGUAGACAUUAAUGUUUCACUGUGAUCUUGAUAAAGACCCCAGGAGGGUCGAAACGUCGAUUUUCUGUACUCUGCACAGGACAUGUAUUAUUUUAUAAUACAGUAAAUACUGUUUUUUUUUUCCACUCAGAAGUAGUCCUAGUGUGCUCCCUUUACUUUCUAUAUAUUUUACGCGUGAUUGCACCUAGGCAAUUUUUAAUCUGUUUAAUUAAGUUCUAGGAGGAGUGCCUUGCUUACCUAUUUUUAUAUAUAUAUAUAUAUAUAUAUAUAUAUAUAUAUAUAUAUAUAUACACACACACACACACACACACACACACACACACACACACACACACACACACACACACACACACACACACACACACACACACACACACACACACACACACACACACACACACACACACACACACACACACACACACACACACACACACACACACACACACACACACACACACACACACACACACACACACACACACACACACACACACACACACACACACACACACACACACACACACACACACACACACACACACACACACACACACACACACACACCCCCCCCUCUCUAGAGAUUUUGCCUUUAAGCUGAAAGAAGCAAGGCGAGUUGUUAGUGUAGGACUCACUUAAGAUGUACCAAAUGAUACAAAAAACCUCCAGAUAUUUAAAUGUUUGUAGGGAUUUGGGAUAGUGCUCAAAUAACUAUUUUAUUUUUAUUUUUUAGUAUAUAUUAACCAAAGUAAUUUUAUUUAUUUAAUACUUUUCGUAUAAGUGAAAUAUCUGCACUAACUAACAAGGACAUAUUUUAAAGGAACUCUUUAGCUAUACAAUCCUGUUUUCAUAAUGCCAGAGUGUUGUUAUAACUAUUUAGAUUAUUUCCUAGCUCAGGGGUGCCCAAAAGGUAGAUCCCCAGAUGUUUUAAAACUACACUUACCAUGAUGCUUUGUCAUACUAAAGGCAUUCUUAAGACUUGUAAAGCAUCAUGGGAGUUUUAGUUCUACAGCAUCUGGAAUCUAACUUUUGGGCACCCCUGUGCUAGAUUAUAUGCCCCCAGCGCACGUCAUGGUCAUCCUGCCUCAGCUGGCUGACAUUAUUAUUACUAAUAAUUUCAACCAAUCCAAUGUUUCUCAAUAGGGAAGCACGGAGAGUCUAGUGCGCUGCACCAGUUUGCAUCUCCUCAUUAAGAUACAUUGAUUCAAUGCAUCACUAUGAGGAGUGCAUGGCGUCUUCUUGAAAAACGGGGACACAGAAUGCUAUUCCUGCAAUUUUUGCAGGACCACAUCCAGGAAGUGCCUUUAGUGGCUCUCUGAGUGACUGCAAGUAGAGGUGGAAACAUACAUUCCCUUAAAAAUCUGUAUUUACCUAGAACCUCUAUUCAUAUUCAAAAAGGGACAUUCUCCCUUAUCAUCUCACCUGCACCUAUGCUAGAUUACUUUCAUGACAAUCACAACACUUUAGCUAAUAACCUGCUAAUAUGCCUGAUUUUCAUGAAUUCCAUUAACAAAGCCUGGCUAGUUAUCUACAGUGAAACCAAACUAAAACAUUGCUUCUUUCAUUCAUUUUGUUUUUGCUCGUUUUUGGAACGGCUUUCAGACUGCUGUGAUCUGUUUUUCCUUCUGCAGGCUUCUUGCAUAUUGCAACUCAUCAAAUACAUUCAGAAGCUGCAGGCUAAAGAUGUCCCAGUGGCCGAGGAGGUGAUGGCUUUGUUUGCAGGAGAAUUAAACCCUGUGGCUCCCAAAGCCCAGAAGAAAGUCCCUGUUCCGGAAGGGUAUGCAAUUGUGACUUUUUAAAGAUUUUUUUUUUUUUUUUUUCUUGUUGUUCUAAACUUUGCACAUCAGGAAAUAGUUUUUAAAUAUGUUCCAACACAUUAAGUGAUAUGAGCUCAAGAAACUAGAUAAUUUUAAUAAAUUUAAAAUUGUAACCUGGUCAGGAUUGAGUAGGGUUAUGAAUUGUGUAAAGUUGGUUAUAAACUGCGAACACUUUCAACCUUGAAAGACCCGCAGGGGUCGAAACGUCGGUUGGUUUGUUUUGCGUUAUGCACAUGAUUUAAAUAAAUCAGAAUAUAUUUUUUCACCAAGUUCUGUUAGUGCAGCCUGGAUGCCUAUUUUAUUACAUAUUGGACGCACCACGGAUGGCACCCAGGCGGAUAGAUUAGAAUACAAAGAAGGAGAGUGCCAAACUAUUUACUUUUAUUUAUAUAUAUAUAUAUAUAUAUAUAUAUAUAUAUAUAUAUAUAUAUAUAUAUAUAUAUAUAUAUAUAUAUAUAUAUAUAUAUAUAUAUACAUACACACACACACACACACACACACACACACACACUACAUUCCUAAAGAUAUUGAAAAUCCCAUUACUGCCUAUAACAUAAAGUUUAUUUUGGUCUCUCUUUUUUCUGCAGUUUGGAUUUGGAUGCAUGGAUAAACGAGCCCCCGUCAGAUAGUGAAUCUGAAGAUGAAAAACCCAAAGCCAUUUUCCACGAAGAGAAGACGACUCACACAAAGUCAUCUCGGCCAGAGGUUGAUGAGGACGAGUUGGCCAGGGUGUGUAUUAAAUAUCAUUUUAGUUUGGAAACCUUUAUUGUCGUGAAUGUGUUAAAAAGGCUUUUAAACUCCUUAACAACUUUGUACUUUGUUGCUUAUGCUGUUUUCCUGAUUAGUUUUGUUUCAUAAAAUAGCCAUUUGCUUCCCACUUACAACUCUCUAAUUUGCUUUGUAUCAUUUUGCUGUAUCGUAAAGUGUUAAUUCCAUAACACAUGGAAAACCUACAGUCUACUAUCUGCUCUUUGCAAACUUACUAGAUUGUCUUUCUUAAAGACGAAUGACAGUUAUGAUAUAGUAACUACUUUUAUGAAUAUUUGUAGCAAUUGUGAAACACAAACAUUGGGGGCCCAGAUAAAUGUCCAAAUUCAUAUGCUUUGGUUUUCUUGUUGACAUUUUUGUGUUAAUAUUGGCGUUUACACAAUUUAUUAAAUUGUACGCGCAUAUUCAGGGCCAAUCUGACAUGGACACCUACGUUGCCCUUAGUGGAUAACUAAAUGGACAUUUUAAAUUUUAAUUCUGCUUCUUCAAACUUGUCUGAAUUGGGUUAUAAAGGGCCGGAUCUGUACAGUUGCUCAUUUAUAAAAUAACAUAUUCCUUAGCACUGUUACGUUUGGCAUAGUGACCACUAGAAGUCUAUGGAAUAUAAAACUGAUAGAACUGGAGAUUCUGCCUUUGAGAGUUUACACUGUAUAUUUUCAGAUGUGAGAUAUGCCUUGCAUUUUGUUGCAUUGAAGUCUUAUGACGAUGUGAACUUUAUUGAAGUAAAGUGGUACUACAUAACAAAAACAAGCCUAGCCUUGUAACUUUAGGAAAUUGCUUCCCUUUGGAAUAUUUGCAGUUUAGACUAUAGUCACCAGAAAAACAGGUUAAUGUAGUUGUUCUGGUGAAUAUAAUAAUUGCCUGCAAGCCUUUUGCUGUUAACACUGUCUUUUCAUAGAAAACGCAGUGUUUACAUUGCCCUCCAGUGGCCACUCCUCAGAUGGCCACUGGAGGUGCUUCCUGUGACAGUGCUGCACAAUGUGCAGCACUGCCAUUCAGUGUCUCCAACCUAUGCAUGGAGACGCUGAAUUUUCCUCAGAGAUGAUUUGAUUCAAUGCAUGUCUUUGAGGAGGUGCUGGUUGGUCAAGCCAGCGUUUGUCCCCGCCUCCUGGCUGAUUUCAGCCAAUUCAAUGCUUUCCCAAUGGGAAAUCAUUGGAUUGUCUAAAAAUUUAAAAUUUUGAUGUCACUAAGGAGGCAGAUUGGGGGCGGUGACAGUGCGGCGCUGGAAAUAAGGUAAGUUUUAACCCCUUCUAAGGAGGUGAAGGCAAGCCACCUAAAUGAUGGUUUUAACGCUAUAGAGUCAGGAAUACAUGUUUGUGCUCCUGACCCUAUAGUGUUCCUUUUAAGGUCAAAGUAGCCGAACUGGAAGCAUAGCUGAAUUUUUAACAAAAUUUUUUGCAGUUAGACUAAUAAUUAUAGAUAUGAAAUUCACUUUGAAUUCUCACUUUAGUGAAUAACCCUUUUCAUCUCCUGGAUUCCACUCAAUUCAAUAAUCUUAAUUUCUUAUCUUUUUAUUCUCUCUUCUAGAGGCGAGCAGUACGGAAGGAAGAACAAGCAAAUAACCCAUUUUAUAUUAAAAGUUCUCCGUCCCCACAGAAGGUAAUUGAGACCAAUUAUUUUAAACACGUCAGUUUAUAACGUAGUGAAUAAUUAGUCGCAAGUAAUGUAAGUCAUUGUAUCCGGUGUGCAUCUAGUGUUGGAUGUACAGAACACUGUUGACUAGAAGUGCUUGAGACCGGCACUUCUAUAAGUCAUUGAUUUGAAGUUUGUGUAGCUCUCAUUGGUCAGGCCAGCGCUAUAUUUGUGCCACUGUGGUCAUGAUACAUAGAUUGUUUUGUUUAGAGAUUGAAAUUGCCACUCAUACUAAGGACAGUCUUUUAGUGCCGGGAUAGGCAACAUUUGGCACUCCAGAUAUUAUGGACUUAAUCUCCCAUGAUGCUUUGCCACCAUUAUGGCUAUAAGAGCAUUAUGAGAGAUGUAGUCCACAACACCUGGAAUGUGCGAAAGGUUGCAUUCCCUAGUUCUAAUGCAUGUUGUGUUUAACAUGUCCUUUUGUAACAGAUAUCUGAAGAUACCUGCUUGGUGCUGGGCGUACUCUUCCAUGUUUGUCUUGAUGUAUAUCCUUUGUUGUAUGCAUGUAUUUAAAUGGAUUUCCUUUCAUUACUCAGCUUUAUCAAGAAUCUCCCGGUGUUGAUCAUAUCCCUGUUGUGCAGAUAGAUCUCUCUGUGCCCCUUAAAGUCCCAGGUAUGCUCUCAUUAUUCAUUUAAAAAAAAACAUUUUUCUUCUUCCCAAUCCUAUGACUCGUCAUACUGUAUUUCAUAAAUCUUCCUCUCUAUCUCAAGGGCUGCCCAUGUCUGACCAGUAUGUAAAGCUUGAAGAAGAACGAAGGUCAAAGCAACGUCAGGAGAAGGACAAGAAGCGCAAGAAAGAAAAAGAUAAGAAAGGUGGAAAAACGAGGCGCCAUCGCUCGUUUCACACAGAGAGUGAUGAAGACAUCACUCCAGCCCAGCAUGUUGAUAUCAUGACAGAGGAGAUGCCAGAGGUUCGAUAUUAUCUGCUUGUCUACAUUGUGGGGACAUCUUGACUAGAAGGGCAAACUUUGCAUCAUAAAUCAUAGUAGCAAGUAGUUUAACUGUAUGCAAACUAUCCACUUAAAAGGACACUCUAAGCACCAAAAUAUUAGCUUAUGAAGUGCUUUUGGUGUAUAGAUCACACUUGUGCAGUCUCACUGCUCAAAUCUCUGCCAUUAAAAGGUAGCUGUCAAAAACAAUGUAUCUUAAAUGGUAGUAAAGUGUUAUCUGUACAUUGUUCUAGUCGAAUUGCUAGCAACUGUUUAGAUUUCUGUAUCAUUAUUGCCAUUUUUUUUUAGCGCCAACAGAUUCCGCAGCGCUGUAAAAUCAGAGAUUAAGAAAUAUCCUUUCCCCCCUCAUAGUCUAUUACAGGGGUAGGCAAUCAUCAGCACUCCAGAUGUUUUGGACUGCACCUUCCAUGAUGCUUUGCCAGCACUGAGGCUGUAAGAGCAUUGUGGAAGAUGUAGACGACAUCGGGAGUGCCUAAGGUUGCUUAUCCAUGGUAUUAAGUCUGUGCCAUUCAGCACAGAGAUAAGACUGUGAUCUGCGUGUCUAUUAUUAAGAAAAAAACUGCAAACAUAUGUCAUGACAGGUUCACUUUAAGGAGUUAAAUCCCUUUGUUCAUGCUGCCCUAGCCACACCUCACAGCCUCCCUACAUACUUCUUGUAAAUAGAGAUCACAAGGAUGCUCUGAAAGAGGACUGUGGGAGAUUGACAGAAUGUAUGUAAAUGUAGGUGAUCAAUUACUCAAUUGACUGGUUACAUUUUAAAACAAAGUGAUACCAGUUCCCUGCUUUUAAUAUCCUCAAACUCCAGUAUGAAAUUGCAAAUCCCUGCCUCCAAUAAAUACUGUUACACACACCAACAGCCUCACUACAGUGUGGGAAGAUUCAUGGGGAAGAGAGCGGAACUGUGAAUUAUAUUAACACUUUCUAAUAUAAUAAAGGCAGUGUUGGAUAAAAUGUAGCUGAAAUCUCAUAAACGUAUUAAGCGCAUAGGGGUGAAUGGGAAUAAAAAUGUUGCUUUCCAUUGUAAAUAGUUUUGGGCAGAGCACUCUUCACCUACUGUCCCAGUGGGUCAAUCAUGUUUUCUUAGAAUUUAGUGUUUGUUUAGUGCACAUGUUUUCAGUGCUGCGGAAUACAUUGGCGCUAUAUAUAUAUAUAUAAUUGUCGUUGUAUAUUUAGUAUCCAUGUUAACUGUGGUAGUUCUAGGUUGUUUUAGGCAUUUUAAACUUAUUUUAUGACAUUUAGCAUAUUAGUAUAAUGGUGAUCUGCAUCAAAUUCCUUUAUUUUCAAGAAUGAUUAUAGAUUACUGUUAAAGGGACACUCCAGGCACCCAGACCACUUCUGCCCAUUGGAGUGGUCCGAGUGUCAACUCCCACUACUCUUAACCCUGCAACUGUAAUUAUUGCAGUUUUUUUUUAUAAACUGCAAUAAUAACCUUGCAGGGUUAACUCCACCUCUAGUGGCUGUCUACUAGACAGCCACUAGAGGGCACUUUCUUGUCCACAGCACAGAAAACCUGUGCUAGAGCGUUGCUGGACGUCCUCACGCUGUGUGAGGACCUCCAGCGUCGCUCAUUUCCCUAUAGGAAAGCAUUGAAAAGCAUUUGAAAUGCUUUCCUAUGGGGAGCGCUAAUGCGCAUGCGGGGCAUUGCCGCACAUGCGCAUUAGGUCUCCCCGGCGGGCGGGAUCAGUCUCGCCCACCGGCCGACGCAAUCACAGGGAGGAGCGACGUGGGACAUUUUUCACCCCUUCAGCAACUGGGGAUGGGGUAUGGGAGGGAGAGGGGACCUGUAGUGCCAGGAAAACGAAUUGUUUUCCUGGCACUGGAGUUUCCCUUUAAUUGAUCAUUGUCCGUUCAAAAAAGAAAUAUAUUCACAAAUCUUUACAAAACAAGUGAAAAUCCGAGGAUGUUCUGAGAAGCAGGUGACCUAACUGUUAGGACUUGUUUUUUGAUUUUUGAUUCAUUAAUGUCUGUCAACAAAUUCUGAAAAUAAUUUUAACCCAUAACUUACUAAAUCAAGAGAUGUAAAAUAUGUAAAUUAGAUUCAAGGAGUAAAGAGGGACACAUUCUCACAGACUUGUUGACAUCCUUUCUUAUUGAGUGGUUUUUGUUUUAUAUAGCUUCCAGACCUUGUCACCAUAUUCUUAGUUUCAGUUAUUUCUAGUGUGUUGCAUUAUGUUAUUUCUUUAAGAUAACAUUUUUUUUACUUUUUACUUGGUUUUCUUUUUCAGAAUGCCCUGCCCAGUGAUGAUGAUGAUAAGGACCCUAAUGACCCUUACAGAGCCCUGGAUAUAGAUUUGGAUAAGUAAGUAAAACAGAGCAGUGAUGUCUACUGUAUUUUAUGAUGUUCAGCUCAGGGGCACCAAACGUAAGCAUGAUAAUAUCCCCACAAUGCAAAGAACUAUGUAUACGGUGCACUGUUUAACCCAGUCUGUUUCAGACCUAUCAUUAAAGAGGAAAUAAAAUUUAUUGUUUGAGUUAUCUUCCCCUUUGACUGCAAUAGGCCAGAUGGACAGUAAAGGGAUCAUCGCUACUGAUGAGAAACUUCUCUUGGAGUGCCUCCCUCGGUGCUGAAGGAGUUAAAACCCCUUCAGCCACUUACCUUAAUCCAGCACCGGGCUCCCUCGGAACUGGUGACCUCUCCUCCCCCGCCGACGUCACAUAACUUCUUUUGUUAGUAUUCUGUUUCUUAAAGGACCACUCUAGGCACCCAGACCACUUCAGCUUAAUGAAGUGGUCUGGGUGCCAGGUCCUUCUAGGGUUAACCCAUUUUUUCAUAAUUAUAGCAGUUUCAGAGAAACUGCUAUAAUUAUGAAUGGGUUAAGCCUUCCCCUAAUCCUCUAGUGGCUGUCUCAUUGACAGCCACUAGAGGCGCUUGCGUGCUUUCACUGUGAAAAUUCCGGUGAGCACGCCAGUCCAUAGGAAAGCAUUGUAAAUGCUUUCAUCGCUGGAAUGCGCGCGCAGCUUUGCCGCAUGCGGCGCAUCCAGCCGGGCGGGCGGAACGGAGAGAGAGCCAGCGCUGGAAAAGGUAAGUUAUUACCCCUUUCCCUUCCAGAGCCGGGCGGGAGGGUCCCUGAGGGUGGGGGCACCCUCAGGGCACUAUAGUGCCAGGAAAACGAGUAUGUUUUCCUGGCACUAUAGUGGUCCUUUAACCCCUUCAGACCGGAGGGCGUACUAUUACGCCCUAUUUUAGGCGGCUCUAAACGCCGCCGGGCGUAAUAGUACGCCCUCAUGUUUUUGUUUACUUACCCGGUCGCAGGCGAUCGCGGUUGGGGGGACUCCCAGGGACCUCCCAAUCACAUGGCCGGGUUAGCUGGCUGCUGUAUUGCCAGCAGGGGGACUGCCUGUAAUGACAGGUAGUCACUCUGCUGGAUGGAAAUAAAAUAAAGUAAUUUAAAGUGUAAAAAAAUAUAAUUAUAUACUUAGAUCAUAUAUAUAUACACACACACACACAUCACACACACUCACACUCACACUGUCUAGGUGUAUUUUACUAUUAAUAUAUAUAUAUAUUAAUAUCAAAUUACACGUAGACUGAUACUGAUUAAAUAUAUAUAUAUAUAAUUAUUGUUAUAUAUUUAUAUAAUAUAAAAAAAUUAAAAAAUAAAUAUGUAAAUACGUUAAAAAAUUAAAUAAAAAAAAAAUUAAAAAUAAAUAAUUAAAAAAUAUAUAGAUGUAUGUUAUUUUGUUCUAACUGUAUUGUGAUAAUAUAUAUUUAUAUCAAAAUACACGUAGACCGAAAUAAUAUAUAUAUAUAUAUAUAUAUAUAUAUAUAUAUAUAUAUAUAUAUAUAUAUAUAUAUAUAUAUAUAAAUAAAACAACAUCUUUGUCUGUUUUUUUUAUUUAUUUUUUUAACCCAAAUGAUGAAGCCUGUACGGCGAAACACAUCCUGGGAAUAGACUCUGAAACACUGGACUUGUAUUGCUGAAUUGGUGUUUUUUUUAUAUAUAUGUAUAUAUAUAUAUAUAUAUAUAUAUAUAUUGUAGCCGUAUUAGUCCAGUGAUGUAGAUGUAAAAAACAGAUAAAAUUCUUAUCUUGUAAUACCUUUUUUAUUGGACUAACAGAAUUUUUUAAUGACAAGCUUUCGGGAGACCCUCCCUUUCUCAAGUCUGAAGCAUUUCUGAGCAAAACGACACAUAGAAUUCAAAGUUGAGUUGUGAUACAGGGGUUAAAGCGACAUGAGUGUAGAUAAGACACAGGUUUGUUAGAAAAUAGACACCAUCUUAGCAGAGGGUCAUAAAUAUCUUGUUGAAGAGAAGAGUGAGGGGGGAGAGAGGGAAAAGAAAAACAAACAAGCAGACAGUGCACAGGAUGAUACACUUUAUACAUGCACACACACAGAAAUAUGUAUAUGUGAAUGCAUAAACACAUGUAUAUAUACAUAAACACAUAUACAUACAUGCACAUGGACUCAUAUACACAAAUAUAAAUGCACAGUAAUAUAUAUAAGCAUUCAUGCAUACGAGUAUGGGAAAGCAUAGGUCUACACAUAGUACUUUGUAUAUGGAUAGAAUAAACAUAUAGGAAUGCAUUUUAAAGUGUUGGUACAUAUGACAGAAUAGUAAGAUAAUGCUGGGAGAGUGUUCAUGUAAAGUGUUGGUAGUGGGACAGGAAUCCCAAAUCAAUAUUUAGUACUCUCUUCUUGCUGUUAAACCAUUUAAUCAUUCUGGCUUCAAAGGCUUUUCUUUCCUGGGUAUUUUUAAAACCCCCUUUCAGUACUUUGAUUUUUAGGUCCUGAAAAAUAUACAUAUAUUCUACAUAUAUAUUUAUGUAAUAUUUUUACAUUAUUAGGUAUCUUAAUUACAAUUAGCGGGACCUGCCUGACAACCCAUGCCGAAAGUAAAGGGAAUUUAAUUUUCUAUUACUAUAUUUAACCCUAUAACUUUCCAAGACACCAUAAAACCUGUACAUGGGGGGUACUGUUCUACUCGGGAGACUUCGCUGAACACAAAUAGUGUUUCAAAACAGUAAAAUGUAUUACAACGAUGAUAUCGCCAGUAAAAGUGACGUUUUUUGUAUUUUUCACGCACAAACAGCACUUACACGGACGAUAUUAUUGCUGUGAUACUUUUUACUGUUUUGAAACACAAAUAUUUGUGUUCAGCGAAGUCUCCCGAGUACAACAGUACCCCUCAUGUACAGGUUUUAUGGUGUUUUCAAAAGUUACAGCAUCAAAUAUAAGGCUUGUUUUCAUUUUUUUCACAUUAAAAUUUGCCAGAUUGGUUACGGUUGCCUUUGAGACCCUAUGGUAGCCCAAGAAUGAAAAUGACCCCUUUAAUGGCAUAUUUGCAAAGUAAGACAACCCAAGGUAUUGCAAACGGGGUAUGUCCAGUCUUUUUUAGUAGCCACUUAGUCACAAACACUGGCCAAAAUUGGCGUUUUUUGCAUUUUUCACACACAAACAAAUACUAACGCUAACUUUGGCCAGUGUUUGUGACCAAAUGGCUACUAAAAAGACUGGACAUACCCCAUUUGCAAUACCUUGGGUUGUCUACUAUUGCAAAUGGUAUGCCAUUAUGGGUGUAAAUUUCAUUCCUGGGCUACUAUACAGUCUCAAAGGCAACAUAACCUAUCUGGUGAAUUUCAAUUUCAAAUGUAACGUGCUAUAUUGGAUCCUGUAACUUCCCAAAACGCCAUAAAACCUGUACAUAGGGGGUACUGUCUUACACGUGAGACUUUGCUGAAUACAAAUGUUAUUUUAUUGCAGUAAAAGCAAACAGUAUUAUGACAUUGACAGUUAAAAUGUCAUGUAGAACUAAAAAAAUAAAAAGAAUUCCUAUUUUCUCCCAUUUUUUUCAUAUUAAAUUAUGUUUCACAGCUAAAUAUUUGAUAUUAAAUGAAAGCCCUGUUUCCCCUGAAUAAAAUGAUAUAUAAUAAGGGUGGGUGCAUUUACUAUGAAAGAGGUGAAUUACGGUUGGACAAGGACCCACAUCCACGAACCACCAAGUUAAUGGCAGGACCCAAGGGGACUAAAGGUUGGACCACACUACAAGGACGCGAGACUACUGAAGGAAAACCGAAACUUUAUAAGUAGAAGACAAGGGGAGGGGGGAGACAGAUACCCUCGACUACACCAAGCCCAAUAACCUAUCAUUCACUGAAUGCUAACAACACAUAACCAGAUGAGACCCAAAUUCGCCAAGAAUAGCUAUUGAUGUACUGUGCAUCUCAUUUGAAACAGAUCAAAAUGCUUUAAAUACAAAACGGGCCUGCGAGCCCGAGACACAGUUUCUGUCUAUAUUGAAUCUCAUAACCUAUAUCUUCUAUGAAAAAUAAAAAUGAUUUAAAAAAAAUAAAAAUUUACGGUUGGACAGACAUAUAGCGCAAAUGCCAGGUUUUGUUUACAUUUUGUUUUGUUCACAACGUGUACAUUUGGCUCUGUCCUUAAGGGGUUAAUGUGCUGAUCCCCCUGUGUUUUGUUUUGGGUUUUUUUCUCAGACCCCUAGCAGACACAGAGAGACUGCCAGUGCAAAGGCACAGAAACACAGAUGGCCUAAAGUCCCCCGAAAAUGAAGCCAGUACGUUAGACCAAAAGAUCAAGAAAUCCAGCAAGAAGGAGCAUAGGCAACAGGAAACGGAGAAAGUAAAGAAAAAAGAGAAAAAGGUACGUAUGGGCAAGUUAAAUGACAUCCAUGCACAAACUUAUACUGUGUGAACAUGGCCGCAGUUGUUGCUAAUGUAAUGCAAACUUGCACUUUUUGGAAAAUCUGUCCUUGGUUGUGAGGGUGCGUUUGUUCGAUUCACUCUGAAAAGCGAGAGUAAUUAUUCCUUAAUGCUAAAAUCUUUACAUUUUACUUUAUCCCAUAUUUGUUUCUUAUAUUCAUGAUUUCUUGAUACAACACAGUAUUUUAAGGAAAGAAACGUGACAUUGCUCCUAAAAAUAUAGACACGCAAAGCCCGGAAACAUCAUCUAAAUAUGUAACUUAACUCCUCGUGUGCCUAGGCACCUAUUCACGUGAACAAAUUAAGAACAAUAGGGAAAUUGUUCACAUUUAUAUGAUUGGAAUCCUGGCAUAUGUUUAAAGUGGUAAUAUUAAAAUAGAAUUAUCUGAUGUAUCUAUGGCCAACAGUGAAUGGUCAGGAAAAAGAAAACACAAACACGUAAUCUCUCCUGAUAAUUGUUUGCCACUCAAAAAUGUGAGGUUGGAGCUUGAGGGGGAUAAGCUGGCUCAAGUGGGUGGACAGAUCAAAACAUGAAAAGGAGGUGGGCCCAAUUGGUUAGGUAGACCCUGAAAAGACACUGACUCAUUCCACAUGGUGUGAAUGCCCAACAGAUUCACCGACAACCUCUGGCCAGCCCCACUCGGACAUGUAUGUCUAAUGAUAUGCUCACACAGCACUUUCUAGGGAUAUUUAUCUGGUAUACCCAUAAGUGAGACACCUAGUAUCAAACCUGGAGUGGUGGGACAGCAGUUAGAUACUGGAGGUAUCCUACCUAACCCGGUACUGUUGCAACGUGUGAUAAUGGGAAAAUGUUGAACGAAGGCAAACUACUAGAGCUAGUUACAGAUCCACAAAUAGGUCCAAAAUCUCACCCUUUUCCCUUCCAUUUGUAUUUUAAAGCAGAAAAGCAAAUCAAAAGAGGAGAAAAUCAAACGCAAGAAAUCUACAGCAAGCACAACCAAGGAGGACGAGGUUCCUGUCAAGGAAGAGGAAGUCAAGGAGGAUGAGAAAGCCACCGAAGCUACGUCCGAUGUGAGCAAGAUGAGCAUAUUGUGUAUUUCGUCAGCACAUAUGUGUAAGAUAGUGAGAAAAGAUCGUGACACCAGUCAUUACUGCUGUGCACAGUCUGUUUCACACUGUUGUAUACAAUCUGAGACUGAGUGAUAGUAUUGCUAUGUGAUUUUUGUGUGUUGUAUUGCACAUGCUGAGACUUCAUGAGUCACAAUGGUCUCUUGGAUCUUUUUCUUUGUUUAUAUACCUAUUUGUUUCAAUCACCGGAUCUGUCUUUGGUUUUCAGGACAUGGAUUUCUGGCUCAAUAACUCUGAGGCACCAGCUCAGUCUCAGGUUAGUAGUUUGGUGAGGAAGGAGCCGCCAUAGUGGAUUUCUUUCUUUUUGUAAUCGAACAUGAUAUAUACUUCAAGCCAUAUCUAGAAAGAAGCGAGACUGCCAAUGAUUGCCAAGUAGUUGAGGAAAUGAACAAGUAGAUAAAAGGAACAGGUAGCGCCAAAAAUGAGCAAUAAAUAUAUAAAACAAGAUAUGGAUCUAAAAUUGAUCUGUAGGUACACUAACAAAGAAUCUAUGAAAAAGUUCAAAAAAUACCAGUAGAUAAAAUACAGUCUUUGGAUGGAAUGUAAUCCGUCUUCAGAUAUUCUUAAAAUGCUUGGGGGACAAUUCCUCUCGGUGGCAGCAUAUGAGAAAACAUAAAACAGAGACCAAUGGUGCAAUGUUGAUAAAAGAAAGUGAGUGCUUCUAAAAAAAAAAAACUAUAAAAAAUGCCAACUCACAUUUGAUAGAGCUAUAACCAGCACUUGCAGGAUAUUUUCAGGUAGUAGUUUGUACCAGGAAGAUGAUACACUACCACAACAAGAGGACAUAGUCUUAAAUUAGAGGGACAAAGGUUUAAAAAUAAUAUCAGGAAGUAUUACUUUACUGAGAGGGUAGUGGAUGCAUGGAAUAGCCUUCCAGCUGAAGUGGUAGAGGUUAACACAGUAAAGGAGUUUAAGCAUGCGUGGGAUAGGCAUAAGGCUAUCCUAACUAUAAGAUAAGGCCAGGGACUAAUGAAAGUAUUUAGAAAAUUGGGCAGACUAGAUGGGCCGAAUGGUUCUUAUCUGCCGUCACAUUCUAUGUUUCUAUAUGGUGGAAUAUAAAAAAGAAAGGCCAAUAGUGCACCUAAUUGAGGUAUGUAAACACGCACUAAAAUUGAAGUGUACUUACUCUUGGUGGAGCAGACUAACACACUUUUUGAGUUAGCAGUGGAUAGUAUUCUCCCCACCAAGGAUUCUUUGUAUGGUUCAGAGAAGUAAGGUGCAAGGUAAAAUAUAUAUAAAAAAUAUAUAUAUAUAUAUUUUAUUUUUUUUUUAUUUUUUUAGAUUCUUUGUUAUUGUAUCUACAGAUCAUUUUCAGACUCCAUAUCUUGUUUUAUAUAUUUAUUUCUCAUUUUUGCCGCUACUUGUCUAGUUCUCCUUUAGAGUUAGAGGGAACCCCCUAUCUCCUAUUUGCUAUUUUGUUUCAUUGUUUUGCGCGGUUCCUACCGCUUGUUUGUUUUGUAUUUAAGGAAAUGGGCAUACGUACACACAAACACACUCAUAAAUAUCAUUAUUCAUUUUUGGGUUCAGAUAUCACCUGGUUAGAAAGCUUGUUAUGUUUAGCUAGUUCAGCAGCAAUUCUUAAACGCUCCUUGAUGCACAGGCCUGCCUCUCCAGGGACAGUCUGGUGAAUCCAGAAUUCAGUAUGCCUUCCCUGGUAUCCAUUUGUUCUUUUUAACCCCACAGAGCGUACCUGAAGCCACUACCAAUAUAGAAGAACCUAAAAAAGAAGAGAUCAUACAAGAAACAAAUGAAGAAGAGAAUGAAAAGGUAAGCAUUACGUUUGUCAGCAAGUCUGCACUGAUCUUUUCUUUAUAAACACACAUGGUGUAUUGCUUGGCUGUUACUGUGCAUUAUUCCACAAUUCAGCACUGUAUAGUCUGCCAAUCUAUCACAUGAGCCUGUCUUUUUGUCUUGGCAACACAUCAAUAGGAUGAACUGUUUUCUUUGCAGUGGUAAAGAGGCACUCAAACCAAGUGUCUGUAGUGGUUAGCUGAUACCAUUCCAAGUUUUAAAUGGAAACUCUAUACCCACUAAGCCCUAAGUGGAUACUAUUCUGGCAAACUACUUUUCUACCCUAUUGUUACCUUUUGUGUCACUAUACCCCACUCCCUCUAGUAUGGAAUCUCAUUGAGCAGGUACCUUAAUCCCCCCUCUGUUCCUUUCUGUCCAAUUCAUCUGGUUACAAAUAUGUGUCUGUUAGCCAACCCAUUGUACAGCACUGCGUAAUUUGUUGGCGCUUUAUAAAUAAUAACAAAAUAUUCCUAGCACUAUAGUAUCCUCUGCCCCCUCGCGGCCACCGCCUCCCCGCCAAAAGGGAUAAAACCCUUUUGUCACUUACCUGAUUCCAGCGCCAAUGUCCCUCAGUGCUGGGUAAGGUUCCACCGACAUCAGAGGGCGUGGGGGAGUACCUAAUGCACGCUGAUCGCAUUAGGACUUCCCCAUUGGGGUUUUAGCUGACGCUGGAUGUCCUCAUGCAAAGGUGAAGUACCUCUUAUGGCUGUCUGGUAGGUUAUAAUUACAAUUGAAGGGUUGAGACAAAGGCACUGCACCCAGAGAUGAAUGGGAUGAAGUGGUCUGUAGUAUCCCUUUAUUGUAAAGCCAUUUAGGGAAAAAUUUUAUAGUAACUGGGGCUCGUCCUGUUUCCCAGGAGUUGACCUUUUGACGCUUUGAUAAUGCUGACGUAUUAAUUUUGCUUUGCUCUGAUCAUUACGCACUACAUCAUUUUUGUAACAAGAACAAUUUGCAUAGUGCUAGUUUGUACACAAUUAUUCAGUUACUGUACUCACCUCUCACAUAUUUUUACAGAUAUGUUGACCGUUUGUCCUUUUAGUUAUAUUCUGUGCAUGUUUCAGAAAUCCCACCGACACAAGAAAAAGCAUAAGAAGGAGAAAGAUGAAGUGAAGGAAGACAAGAAAUCUCGCAAGAAGAAACACCAUCACCACCACCACCAUCGUCACCACUCACACGAGGAAGAGCAGACCGAAUCUGUGCAAAAUGGAACACUGGAUGAAGAAGAGACUCUGCCGGUUAGAGGAGGAGAGGGUGGGGGCAGAUUAAAAAGAGACCUACUAUUUCAGAGUUACAAGUCGCUUUGCAGUUUUAAAAAGGAGGGGUGGAUUCUUCUGUAACAACUUGAAUAUUAAAAUUGGUAUUCGAAGAAAAUGCCACAUACUCACUAGAGAUGUCAUUAUGUCCUCUAAUGACAUUGUUGUUCAAAAUGUAUUCCUGAUUAUUAACCUUCAUCACCGAUGAGAGCAAUGGUCUUAGAAGUGACCCAUGCGUUGUUGUACAAUCCUUAAAAUAAUACUUUUGUGCUAAUGUCUGCAUAGCCACUUGCAUUCAUUGUGGUUGUCACAUCGCAUGGAGCCAAAAUGACUCACAUUUAAAAAGACAUUCAUGACCUUUAAGCAACUUUAGCUUGCUGGAAAGCUUUUUGUGUGUAAAGUGUGUCCUAUUUCUUUAUUUAUUUUUUUCAUUUUGCAAAAAGUGCACAUUUCAAUAGAAAUUGCCACUUUUAUAAAUCAACCUGGUUACACCCACUUGGCUUUCAAGCAGACAACCGGUACUUCCUGGUUUGCUUAGCUCAGUGAAGCUAAACUCAAGAGGCCGCAAUUGCCCAGAGCACAUGCCUUGCAAAGAUUUCUCAUUGAGCUGCAUUGGGAAAUCUGUGAUUGGACAGCCACAGAAAAAAUCAGAGUGGCUUCAAAGGGCAGGGCUUGCAAAGGCAGCAGACAAGAGAACUGCAGGUUUUGCAAGCUGUUAGAUAUAUCACCUAUAAACAAAUGCAUGAUUAAAUGCAAUACCUGGUUUCAUUUGGGGUAUAUGUACUAAUUUGCUCAUUUGAUUAAAGAGAAUUCACUAUUUUGGAAUUCCUGACACCGUAAAGAUUUAAUCUAUUUACUGUGGCUCUACGUAUUCUUCAAUCAAUAUGUCUUGUAUUUGUUUCUGAUCUCGUAUGUUCAUGUUCCACUGAUGUCUUGUUUCAUGUGUUCACAUUGCUCACAUGUCUCCUCUUGUUUUGCAGCCAAUGUCCAGUUAUAGCACUCUGGCAGAGAGUACAUACAUCAAGAUGGUGAGUCGUGUCAUUUAGACAUGUUAAUCUGUGUGUGAUGAUUUGUAUUUCACAGCCAAUUGGCAUUCGUUUCAACCUGCACUGCACAAGGUUUUAUCUUUCACUUUUCUGACCUUUUUUUCCUGUGUUAACCAUCUGUGUUUUAAUAACCUUUGUACGUAUCAGUCUCUCCGUGCACAUCAAACUAUACUACUGCUUGGUUUAAGCCCACUGUACUUUUGUGGCAUUAGCCGCUCUAUGCCAACCAAAUAUUACCUUCAUGCAUCAGUGUUCUCUAUUCUCCUGCCUGGCAGAUGUAUGACAUUCAAGGGGAUCUGCAGAAAGAAAGCCAGGUCACUGUUUCUGUCAUCCUUGAGAAUCUGAGUCAGAGCUUCCUGAAGAACAUGGAGAUUAACGUUUUGGACUCCCUCAAUACUAAAAUGAUGAGGCCGGAGGGAUCAACUGUCCAUGAUGGUAUUCCUGUACCUUUUCAAUUGCCACCAGGUGAGUGUGGAUCCUGCAGUUCCUUAAAUCUCUGUUUGCAUGCAGGUAUGGUGCAAUUUAUAUGGUAAUAACAUUUUAGAAAAGUAAUAUUUUACUGCUUGGCUGUCAGCAUUGGGUUAUAUGACAAAUGCUGCGGUAGAUUUGCACUGGUGCAUUCCCGAAAUGUUUUACAUCAAGAUAGAAGUGAUAGCUCAUAAUAAAAUAUGCUGUGUUUUCUGGAUUAUUUAAUCCGUCUUUAUAAAUCGAAAAACUAAAGGUGAUGUGCAAAUCAUUACUAAAAAAUAUUGUAAUGUCAAAAUAUAGCACCCUGCCGUAAAAUGGUGUCUAACAUUAUAAAUGCCAGUAAUAAAUAAAUAAUCCCCUAUUGAAAUAUCUUGUGUCCUAAAAUAAUCUACCUACUAUGAGGAUCUGGCCCUUAACACUUCCUAAAUGGGCAGGAUUAUGUAGAGCUUCCCUGCUGGAUAUUUGUUUGGCAUGACCUACGGCCGGCCAAGACUUGCUAUUCAUUUGCAGAUAAAUAUUUAACUAAAGCCUUUGCUCUGGUACAACUCACAUUAAAGACACACCAUCAGCCUCCAAGAUGUGCAUAGAUGCUUAUCAAACUGGUUAAAAGUUACGAUAUACAACUGAAUUCUAGUAGUUUGCGUAGUUGCAAAAAUUGUAGUGUUAUAGAGUUUUAAAUCUAGAAGACAACCUUCAUUAUACACUGAUCUAAGGUAAUUCUAAUGUUCGGUUUUGACACUUUAACUAGAAAAGAACAUUUGGCAUGAUUAAGGCUAAUGCCAACUGAAUAAUUUAUUCAAACAGACCUUAAAUAAUGCAUAAUCUGUAUAUUUUUUGGCUCUCAUUUGGUGCCUGUGUAUUAUUGAUGUUUGAUAGCUUGGCAGAUGAGCACUGGUUUCGUUUAAUGAUCUUGUGCUAGAGUGGCUAAAAGCUAGUUCCCAAUUGUAGAACUACAAAACCCAUGAAACACCAUGGUAGUUAUAGUUCUACAACACCUGCUGGCCUAGUUAAAUCUAUCAGCAUUGUAAAUUCCUGUCACCUGUAAGCUCUGUUUUAAAGUGGUUAUUCCUGUUGUGAUUUUUUUCUGACAGGUGUUUCUAAUGAAGCUAAAUUUGUGUUCACUGUCAAGAGUAUUGUCAUGCCCCAGAAGCUUAAAGGAACAUUGUCUUUCAUAGCAAAGGUGAGUUUGUUUUUCUUCUUUUUAUUUAACCCCUUAAGGACACAUGACGGAAAUAUUCCGUCAUGAUUCCUUUUUAUUCCAGAAGUUGUGUCCUUAAGGGUUAAGUAAAGGUACUUUCUACCGCUUUCAAAAACUAAAGGUGCCGUGUUGCCAAUACAGAUCAUCAGAAAUGUGACAUUACAUAAAUAUUGGGGGCGGGGUACGAUUAUUUUUCGUCUUAACCGCUUCACGCCCAGAAUAGAAUAAACUUUUUUUUUUCUUUCAUGUAGAUUGAAAUCUUUAUACUAUAGCAGUGGUUCCCAACCCAGUCCUCAAGUACCCCCUCCUAGUCCAGGAUUUAGGGAUACUUGAGGACUGGGUUGGGAACCACUGUACUAUAGGAAAGAUUACUUGUAUAGGAACAAAUUAAUCUGCCUUAAGCCACUGGUCAAUGAUUAAAUACCUUCAAGUCUGUUAAAUGUCGGCUCACCCACUGCUUCCAAACAGUAAAAGAAAUUUCAAUGGUAAAUAUUAUUCCUACAGUCAUGGAGCAGAAAGGAGUGAAUGGCCUCUACCAUUUUACUGUUAGUAUUACAUUACCAGUCCAGAGGGUGAUAAAGAUUGCUAUAGCCAUUUUGAAAUACCUUUUUAUUAUAGAAAAAAUGAUUUAGGGGAAUUACAUAUGUCAAAUAUUUUAAGUUUGUUAGGCUUCCAUAUCAUUGUUAUAUAAAAAAAAAUUAUAUUUACUGUCCCAUUAAUACUGCACCUACUAUAUUUGCCUUUUGUAAGUUUUGAUUUAGAUUUUUUUUUUUUUUCGUAGCAUCAUUAGGCAUUAAGUGACAACUGCUUUUAUAUGAAAUCUCACCACUAGGUCUUGGAACUUGCAGCACAUGUCACUGCAGAACAGCUAGUCAGGACUGCUUCCACAUUCCUGCUUUCUCAUAACUUCAACAUAGAAAUAGUUUGUAUUGUUAAUCACAGAUGUCAAAUACUGCUGUCAGACAGGUUCUACACAAGCCAAAACCUUUCUCUUGUGGACACAUUUUCGGUUUUCAUGCAUGGUUAUCAUUUUCUUAAAAUUUUCUUUUACGUAAACUUUGUAGGCUCUGUUUGUUUUAUCCCAGCGCUCUUACUGUUCUAUUUAAACAUAAAUGCAUUAAAAUUGUCUCGAUUUCCUUUUUAAUUCUUUUUAUUUAUUUUUUUUUAGGACGAUGAGGGUUCAUCCCAUGAAAAACUAGACUUCAAACUGCACUUUAGCUGCUCUUCCUAUUUAAUUAUGACUCCUUGCUACAGGUAUGUUUGAGCAAUCCUAUAUAUGUGUGGAAUAAUGACAUUUGUGUAUUGUCCAAUCAAAUGCUUGUGUAGAGAAGCAGCUUACAUACACUGUUUCCUGUCCAGCAUCUUCAUACUUUGUUGUACUGAUGCCAGACGUCCACAAGAUGCUUUGCCAAAUAUAAACAUCACUGUUUACUGUUCUAUAAAACAUCAAAAUCACUUCAUUAAGGUGACAUGUUUUUGGUGCUUAGUGUGUCCAUUUGACAGUUCUCGCCUAGCACAUCUACAUAGUAAUCUUGUGAUGGGUCCAUCAGUUCUACUAUGUUGUAAGAGCAUUUAAAUAAUCUUGAUUGCAGGAAUUAGGAGAAGGAUGAUAGGAAUACAGAUUUGUAUUCUUAACAUUAUAGAAUCCUUUUAAUUUGCAAAUGCAAACACAGCGAUUCGGGCUCAAGUCUGAAUUCUGAGCAUUUACAUGAGGCUUGUUUUACACUCCCACUGAUGUUUUACAGUUUGUUUGUUUUCUUCAAUACAUAAAAUAAGCACCAUUAAAUUGGGCAAAAGUAACAGUAUUUGGAAACCAGAGUAAUCUGAAUGUACCUUUCCUAGUAAAAAUACUUUGUUGUUGUUCCUAUUAUUAGUCGAGCUUUACUGACGUUUUGAUGGUUUCAUCUCACUCCUUCAGUGAUGCGUAUGCCAAGCUGCUGGAAUCAGGAGACCUGAAAAUGAGUUCACUUAUAGUUGAUACCACCACACUAUCCUUCCACCAUCUAUUAGCGAAGAUAUGUUUCUACCACCACUUCACUGGUAUAGUGCUCUCUAUGGGGAAAAAAAAAGUCUCUUAUUACAAUUCUAAUAUACUUCUGAAAAAUGUAACACUUGGAUGUUUUGUUUUUUUUAGUGGUUGAGCGAGUUGACUCGUGUGCGUCUGUGUACAGUCGAUCUAUUCAGGGUCACCAUGUGUGCUUACUGGUGAAAAAGGUAAGCACUUAAAGUGAACCUGUUAUGUAAAUUCUAGAUAUUACUCAGUCGGACACCCCAACACAUUGAAUAGCUUAUAUAUCAUAGAAAUACAUGAGGUCUUCAUUGUAAAAUAUUUUGAUUUACCCACCAUAGCUUUGUUAGUGUUACUCUUCCGCCAGUGCUCCACUUACUGACUUCUGUGACUUGCCCUGCUUGGGGACACGUCUCCUCUGUGAUGUUGACAUUCUGGCUUUAUUCCCCCGCAUGCUGACAUCAGUUUGUUUCUGUACUCCUUAGCCAACAUUAGCAGCAUUGGCUAGGGGGUUACCAUAGCAACCACAGCACAUGCUAUGUGUGAAGAGCAGACGGAGUGCCUCUGGGAGGUCACUUCUGCUGUCACUUGUCAUCCAUAAUUUUGGCAAGAUUUGACUGAGAAGUUAGAGAAAUACCUAUUUUUAAAUAGGUUUUUCUUCCAAAUGAGACACUUGCUAGCAAUGUGUAGACCGCAUUUUAUGUUCUUUAAAAAGAACAUAAGGCGAGGUAUCCUUUUAAGUUGCCUACAGGAAGAAAAUGAACACACAAAGCUGGUUGCAGCAGACCUAUUGGUCAACACAUUCUAUUUUUCAAGACUUUUUUUUAAAAUGUCAGAGCAUCCUGCCUGUACCUGUAGGUUGCAGGAGAGAUGUGAGCAAAUGCUCCGAUUUGAGAGUACUUUGUUGGACAUUUUCCAAAGUCUCCUGUCCUUUUCAGUUGCUGUUGUAUUACUGUGGCUUUAUUUGGCAAUCACUUUGUCAUUUGUAGCUCAUUUACACUUUAUCUUUUAUAUUCAAUUUGUAUAUUUCGUCACAGUCUGCACAGAAUGCACAGUAUUUAUUACAUAGAGAUGUUUUUUUUUGUAAACUAUCGUAUUUAAAACCAAGCAAGUUUAUUGAAGCUUAUUGAAGGAAUUAAUGAGGAAAUUUCAAGUUCCCAGCCAUCUGAGGCUUUGAAAGAAAAUUCAGGUCUGAGGGAUUUUUUUGCAUUUGAUUGAAAUUGCAAUUAACUGGUCAAUUUAAUGAGUAAGCUUGAACGAGUCAUAAUAGAGCAAGGUUAUUUGUAACCAUGUGCAUCAGUAGACAUUCCUUUAAAACGAAACCUCAGUCAUGACAUUCUGCGGUUUAAUUUACAUGGCCAGUCUGGAAAAAUGCACAUUUUAAAGGGACACUGUAGUCAACAUAUAAAAGCAAGAAAGACAGGUCCCCCAGCCUUCUUUCUUGCUUUUAUAUGAACUUAACAUAAAUCAGAUUAAGGUUUUUUUUUUUCUCCUUGAGAAGCAUCAUCGCGAUGUGGUGCGCAUGCGCGGUUUCGCGCUGCACCAAUCGCAUUCUUCAUAGAGCGGCAUUGAAUGCCACCCUAUGAAGAAGCUCAGCGCUCAACCGCGCAUGUGCGCGGAAUGCGCGUUCGCGAGCUGAGCUGUCUGACAGCUCAGCUUGCUUUCUAUGCCUGCCCUCCUCCACAGUCAAACUGUGUUUGCAUGUUUGCAUAGAAACACUAUAUAUAGAGAUCUCUCUAUAUAUAGUGUUAAUAUGCAAAACACACAAGUAAUAAAAAAUUAGACAUACACACACACACUUUCUCCAUCCAUAUCCAUUCCCCAUCAUCCAUAUCCAUCCUCACCCUCAGUCACCCACCCACACUCACUAAAUAAGUUUACUUACACAGUUUGAAUCCUCCCCUCCUCCUCUUCGGUCUUCAGCCUGUCAGCUCAAGCCACUCCCACACAGUGCUGACAGCCUCAGCACACAAAGCACGUUCACAGUGCUUUGUGUGCUGAUAGCACGUCUGAAGUAGUCACCCAUACGUGAAUACGUCAGACGUGACUGAAACCUUUUCAGGGCUUCUGAACGCGGAAGUCCCUCUGGUGGCCGUCUGACUGCAGCUAGAGGUGUUCCAAGCUUCCAAUGUAAACACUGUAUUUUAUAUGAAAAUACAGUACUUACAAGCAACAACCUCAUUAAGCUGAAGUUGUUCGAGUGACUAUAGUGUCCAUUUAAUGUCUAAAAACAAUCUAGAUGGCUAAAUGGGACUUUUUUUGGCAUCAAGCUAGAAGUGGAUUAGAAAUUUCAGCUGAUUCUUGGUUUCCCAUUGAUACAAAUCGGAUUUCAUUGCUAGUUUACAAAACAUGAGUGGCUACCAUUCAUUCAAGGCUGUAAUUUAAUGUUUGGCAUGUUUAGCACUUCUCCCAUCUGGUUUAAUGUGAAUGAAAAUGUAUGCAUUGUAAUGUUAAGCGGCUUCCAUUCCCUCUUAUGUUAGUAAGUGCGACUGAAGACAACUGGCACUCGUCCUGCUUUAGCACGAUCAGUGGAAUUAGGCAUUCCUAGCAUGUUCCUUUAUUAUAUUGUCCUGUAGUUCUCUGUGACUCCAUUGUUGGCUAGUUUGAUCAAAACUGGAUCAAUAAAUAAUUCUUCAGCAUUGAGUUGUAGUUGAUCUGCUAAUGUUCCUUCGUGGCUUCUGGCACAACUGGAAUGACCAUUCUAGAUUUCUAAAAAGUCCAGAGCGUUCUAUAAUCUGUUUGACUUUUAUCGUUUUCCCUCGUUUCUUAUAGGGGGACAAGUCAAUAUCUAUUGAUGGGAAGUGCAGUGAAGCAUCUCUACUCGGCAACGUUCUCGGCGAGAUCAAAGAAACGCUGACGGAAUCUUGAACAUUGUGAUCUCUCUCUCCUUUUAUCCUCUCUCUAUUCUGCACCUCCUGCAAGAAGCACUCAAACAGAACACAAAGUGAAAAGAUCCAGAAUUACUCAGCAAUUGUUCUGAUCCAAACACGCAUGUUCUAGCUCUGCCUUUUUUCUGAUGCAGGAGACUUCAAUUUUACUGUUACUUAAGCGCGGAUUAAUCUCUCCAUCCACCCCUCCCACCUCCAUCCUUUUUAUUUUGUCAUUUUUAGACACUUCAGUGACCAAGAGGAGCUUGUUUAAUGGCAACGUUGUUCAUUUAACUAUUUUGCUGCCAGUGGUUCUGCCCUCAGACAGUAAAAUUGUUAAUUUUGCGCUUUGUCGAGAUCCAUGCCGUUUACACUAGCUGCAGAGCAUACUUGGCCUUUCCUGCAAUAUAGAUUAAUGACCUACAGAAUAUCUGUUAGAGAAGCUGUGUGAGAUAAUAAUUUAAACUGCCCGUGUUUGAUUUGUACCGGAGAUGCAGACCUAACAAAACAGACCUCUAUCUAGGAAGGGGCUGUGUAUAGUUAUUCCAGAUCAUGAUCGCUACGGUGAGCCUGUAACGCCCUCAUACCUACAGUUUACCAUGUUGUGCAUGAACUGCUUGUAGGAUAUGACCUUACAGAAUUUUGUUUUCUUUAUUAUUUCCUAUCCCCUUGUUUUGCUCCGUACCCUAAUUUUGCAUCCUUUGGGUAGGCUGAUGCCAUGUGCCUCUGAUGGCUUUCUCCAAAAAGUAAGCAGGUCUGAAGACAUUCCUUGCAAAGUAACUUUUACCACCAGAAACUGGAAAAAAGACAAAUCUCAAUUACUUUCCGCGUGUCUGUGUGUUUUUUGUUGCCCUGUUUUGUGUGUUGCUCCCACUGUACUUCUGAACCAGAGUCCACUUAUUUACAUAUAAAAUAUUCUAGUUUGUGCUGUACAGUCUGGGUACCAUUAAAUGAAACGUUUACCCACUUUUGCAGUUAUAGAGGUAUUCAAGCGUUGUAUUCCUAGGUUUGUUUUAGGCCUUUUUUUAAAUUGCAAAAGAUUUCAAGAUUUACAAAUCAUAUGGCUACUGGGAAAUCAUAACUGGUGGUGCCUUACUGUAAUUCCCAAUCAUGUUUUCAAGUGGGCUUAAUCGCACUACAAUGAUGUUUAACCUUUAUUAAAUAUUUUAUUCAGGAAUUAUUAUAUGGCCCGGGUGUCUGAAAAUGCAAAAAGGGACUGAUAUCUCGGUGAAGACCAUGGGCUGCCAUUUCGAUAUUGAAAUCAUUUUUCUGUGCAUUAUUGUCAUUUAAUGCCUCCUAAUACCCAACCUGUUAAAUGCAACAAGAGACUCUUACGGCUGUUUCUCUUACCUUAUAAAGCAGAAAUCUUGAAGUAUGUUGUCAAUCUUGGAUACUUUUAAUUCACUUCUUUUUUUAUACACGUUAUAAAAAAAAAAAAAAGAUAGUUACAGGGAGUGAAGACAUGGACGGCAGGUUAUUCACGGAAUACUGUGUUAGAAACACUAAAGUCACACUCUAUCCCAAAGAUAAUAGAAGAGACUGACUGCAGUCCAAAUUAACAAGUGCCACUGCAUAUUAGAUGUGAUGUCCGCUUGAUAACCUCUUCCUCCCCCCCCCACUGUCUUUUCGAAGGCAAAGUGCUUAAUGAUGUUUUUCAGAUCUAUUAAAAAGUAUUAGUCUUCAGGGAUGCAGAAAACUAUACACAUCUGAAAAAGACAUAGGCAGUACCUUGAGCUCUGCUGUAAAUAUUCUUGUAGUAGUCUUCACAUAUUGUACAUCACACAGUGUGUACAAACACUGUUACCUUUCCAAUGCCUGGGUCAGUCACUCAGUCACAUUACACUUCAAACUCCCCUGCCGCUUUGCAUUUAGGGGGGGCAGUAAACAAUUGUUUUAACUUCAGAUUUUGCCCAUCCUGUUUUCUCGUGGACUCAAACUUGAUCACACAGUCUGUGUCCAUAUUUAUGUUUUGUUUUUGUUUGUUUUUUUGUCCUGACUCUGCCUUGGUUACAUUCGCAUGUAUAAUAUCUUCUUUCCCAAAACCCUGUGUGGUGAAUAUAGAAGUUUCCAGUCUGUAUGUGUUAUAAAUUCGCUAUCGACAUUCCCUUGAAGGACAGAAAAUGGUACCACAGAAGCUGCUGUAUUUGUGUCAAGAUGAUCCACAAUAAAGUAUCAAAAUGGUCAAGAUUUAUUUGUUAUUGUCAAUAUUUUAUCUUUAAAUAUUUGAAAAUGAAUGUGUGUACUAGCAUGAAGAAUAAAGGGACACUGUAGUCACUAUAAUAAUUUCAUCUCUUUAAAUUAGUUACAGUGCCUGGAGUCCCCUGGCGCAGUUCCUGCAUUCAGUGUUAAACCAUUUUAAAGUAGUUUAGCACCUAUAUAAGGGUCCCUGGCCACCCAAAGUCCGGCCCCUUCUGGAGGUGUGGCUAAGGGAGAAAUUACACACUUCCUUGUUGUCGUACAGUCUGUUGGAGCUCUGAUUGGCUAAACGCAGUCAGCUGACACAGGGGAGGACUGCCUGGGAUGCUCAUUUAGCAUAAAAACAUUAAAAACUGUUUAUUGUUAAAUGGAAUGAUGGUCCCAGGGGACUCCAGACACUAUAACCAGGUUAAUGAAAUGAAGCAAAC